Molecule: long non-coding RNA, 68387 nt
Filed under: Ananas comosus (pineapple)
Lineage: Eukaryota; Viridiplantae; Streptophyta; Magnoliopsida; Poales; Bromeliaceae
Description: long non-coding RNA (ACOM_LNC031303)
Source: RNAcentral
AUUUAACUAAGUUUGCGUAGAGUUGUAUUCCUCAAUAAUAGGGACAAAACAUAGUUGUUGGUUUAGCAUGAUAAUGAUAUAAAUAUGACAUUAUAGAGUAUUCGUUGAUUGUGUGAUCAUAUCUAUACUAGAGCAUUGAUCAUAUCUAUACUAGAGCAUUCCUGUGAAGUGCAAGUUUAAAGUGCCUAUCAAACUGGUAUGGUUUCGUUAUUCUAGUUACCCUGAAACUGAAAGAAUGGCUUUUAGUAAUCAUCUUUGUCAAGUGCAGAUGGAAGCCUUAUCCAGAACCGAACUGUUUCCAAAAGUAGUUGAAGUGUAUUCACGGCCAACAAGAAUCAUCCGUGGCAAGGAUAUCAAUAAUAAUUUGGAGGUAAAGCACAUGUUUAAAAUUUUAUGUUUAUUUUUUAAAUAUAUUUCAAUCAAUUAGAUGUGCUUGUUUUUUUAAAACCUGUUGUUCAAUAUAUUCUGUUCAAUAAUUGCUAACUUGGGUAUGUAUGGUACCGUCUAGUUCUAACCUGUGCAAAAACUUCCAAUCUACAGAAAAUAGUAUCUAGUUGAAAAUACAUUCUUUAAUGAUCAUUUUAUGGUUGUUGUAACCAAUGUUCUACAUUAGCCACCAUCAGGCCACCAUGGCAGAUUUGCAGUCUUGGUGCCACGCUUUCUAGAUAAAAGCUCUCCAUGGUGGAUUGGAGGCUGGCAGCCAUGGCGGCCGCCAUAUAGCAAUAAAUAAACGGUCGCUUUGUGCUAAAGGAUGGAAAGUCCGUUUCUAAAUGGGUUUUAAAACCCCAAGCCGGUAACGUUUUCUAAAUGGGUUUUAAAACAUGGGUUCCAACACCUCAGAAAAGAGAUCGCUAAACCUAUGUAUCAUAGACACUUCUGUAAGCCUCGCAUGUCUGUGUCGGACAAGUGCGUGUCCGUGUCGACUCGUGUUCGAUGUGGACACGCCAUGGACGCACGUUCGAUGCGGGUUCAUAGCGCAUCUCAUAGAAGAAAUAUAUAUUUUUUAUUUUACUUUCUUUUAUGCAUAUAUAAUGAAAGAUGAUAAAUAUUUUAGCUUUUUGAUAAAUGCAUAUUAUUAUUUUUGGAUAAUAAAUUAUGUAUGGUAGAGAAUUUUUUUCUUAAGAUAUAUGAACUAGCAAUAAAAAUUUUAUUAAUUUUUCUUAGCGGUGUCCCUUGCCAUGUUCGAGUCGUGUCGUGUCCCGUGUCUUGUAUCUUUGUUCAUGACGCCUAGGGCUCGUUUGUUUGCAUGGAAGUGGGGUGAAAGUGGGAGGGUGGAAGUGAUUUUCGAUAAAAACUGACUACUUCCGUUGUUUGGUUCACCGUAAAAAAGUUACGGUCGAAACUCCAGUUAACCUGAAACGGCCCAUCGGCCGAAGUCAAUUACGGUGAACGGAGGUGAAGAAAAAAUAAUAAAAUAAUAUACUAGGUAAAGAUAGUUAUAUUUAAAUAUAUUUAAUUAUGGUACUAAUUAUUCUUUUAUUCAUUUGGCAUAUAUAAAAUAUGAUAAAAUUUGAUUAGUUAAGUUUUAAUAUUUUUUACUUAGUUUGUAUAAUUAAAAUAUAAUAAAAAUUGAUUAAUUAAGUAUUAAUAUUUUUUAACUUUAUAAUUUUAUUGUUGUGUUACUAUAAUUUUGUCUGCCGCGAACGAACCGGCCCCGCCGUAGGGUGUUUCUAAGGUGAGUGGUCAUUCAUGGUAGAGGUUGAAUUUGUUUAUGUUUUAUUUUGAAAUCAGGAUUAUAGGUUCAUGGCUUCCAACGGACUCAAGAAUCUGUUGUUAAUUACCCCACACUUUCGGUGUUAAGAAACCCUCGAUUAAGAUUGUGUUGCUACUGCAGUGAAAAAUAUGAGCUCCCAGACAAGGACGAUAAUAGAUAUGCUCCGCUCUCAAGUAGGCGAGAGCUCAAAGAAAACUCGAAACGAGACUUGUAGGGCAGUCGACAUCAAUACUGAUUCGGAGAAUGAUGAAAAAGAUGCCCUACAAAUAAAAUUAAGAUAUGGAAAAGUGCUACCAGAAAGGCAAGAGCCAGUUCAAAAGGAGAGAAAUAGAGAAGCUCUAGUCAACAAAGAACUUCCAACUUCUUCAAAUCAAGCAAAGCUGACAAGAAUAGAGUAUAAUGUACUCUCUCAUUUACGAAAAGUACCAGCACUUCUGAGUGUUUAUGACGCCCUCAUGAUGUCUAAAGAACUCAGAGAAGUGUUGAUCUAUGCUCUCCAAAAUCCUGAGCCCUUCCAUGCAUAUUUCACCGAAACAAGCAUGAAGGAGGCGUUAUACCUCGUCCACACCGCCAAUAUCACCUUUACAGAAAAGGAUUUAUUAAUGGGGACAACACAUCAUAAUCGACCGUUAUAUGUGACCGGCACAAGUGACGGAGAAAAGAUGAACCGCAUUUUAAUUGACCCUGGAUCUUCUGUGAACUUAAUGACUUUAAGAACCCUAAAGAGUCUGGCAAUGGAUGUCGGCUAUUUAAACUCAGAAAAAGUCGUAAUUCAAGGGUUCAACCAACACAGUCAAAAGGCCCUCGGAUCUAUUACCCUCCCGAUAAGAUUUGGAAAGUUGCAAACUGAGGCAAAAUUUUAUGUUAUCAAUGCAGAUACUUCCUAUAAGGCAUUGUUAGGAAGGCCUUGGUUGCAUAAAUAUCACAUAGUUCCGUCUACCCUUCAUCAGUGCCUGAAAUAUAUAAAAGAUGGGGAGGAAUAUAGAAUUGAUGGCGAUAUUCGACCAUUUGGAGUUCACGAAAUUCGAUAUGAAGAUGCAAAAUAUUUUAUAGAAUCAGAAGACAUGGAAGAAAAUCAUAGCAUAUCGAGGGAACAAUCCUCUAAAAAGAAGAAACUUGCAGAUAAAAUUAAGAGGGAAUCAACAGUGCCGCAUUUUGGAAGCGACUCAGAUAGCUUCGAUCUCGAUGAAGAUGAGUUAUGUUGGGCUAUGAAGCUUCUUUCAAACAAUUGGAAUACCCUCGAAGUUGAAAACUCGUCAGAAGACGAACAUCACUUUACAGCUUAUGUCAGGGCUGAUAGAAUAAUUGCAAAAGCCUCUGACCUGGUGGAAGAUACAUUGACAAUUCUCAAGGUUCCUGAAGAAUGCCACAGACUUAUUCCUGCAAGACAGGUUUCUGUUGUAGACCAUUUAAAAACCUUCUUUGUCCCACCAAAGAUAGAAGAUGUUGAAGGAAGGAGAACAGUAAAAAGAGGAAUUCUUUUUUAUAAAUCAGACAAUCAAAAAUCUACUGAUGUUAUUAGAUCGGAGGAUUAUGAUGAUGAUAUAUACGAGGAUAUAGAAAUUCCAAAUUAUUUUUCAGCUAGCUUAAAAAGGAUGAUACACAAGUUAGGUUGCCCCACAAAGAGGUCCUGGGCCAAUCACAAAUUCUUCCAACGAAUGUAGAAUCCACCGCAAAGAAGAUCCAUACUCCCAAAUGGCAAAUCUAGCAAUACCAGAGGCUUAGGAUAUUACAGAAGUUCCGCUUAUCAAGAUAUCUAUACCUGUAAUAUGAUCAAUGCAAAUGAGGAUAUCGCUGAACAUUUGGUCGAUGAACAAAAAUCUCUUGAACCAAAAGAUGCACCUCAAGAGCUUGAAGAUGGGGCACAAGCAACUGUAGAUGAACUUCUCGAGAUAAAUUUGGGAACGGAAGAAGAUCCCAAACCCACUUAUAUAAGUGCAUUGCUUCCAGAAGAAGAAUAAGAGAAGCUAAAGGCAUUGCUAACAGAAUUUAAAGAUUGCUUCGCGUGGAGCUAUAAAGAAAUGCCAGGCCUUAAUCCAGAAGUGGCUGUUCACAAGCUAGCUAUAGACACUCAAGCUCAUCCAGUCAAACAAGCUCCUAGAAGGAUGAGGGUGGAUCUGGAAGAGCAAAUAAUUGUGGAAACCAAAAAGCUCAUUGAGGCAGGCUUUAUAAGGGAAGAGAAAUAUGCUAACUGGAUCGCUAGUAUUGUCCCGGUCAAGAAGAAGAAUGGCCAAAUUUGUAUAUUUGGACCCUAAGUAUAUGGGUUAGGACUAGUCGAGCACGGUUUGACUUCCACUCUAGGUAUAUGUGCUAGAGCAAAAGACUGACUAGACCCUAAGUAUAUGUAUUAGGGUUAGUCGAACAUGGCUUGACUUCGACUCUAGGUAUAUAUGCUAGAACAAAAGGCUGACUAGACCCUAAGUAUAUGGGUUAGGGUUAGUCGACCAUGGUUUGACUUCCACUCUAGGUAUAUGUGCUAGAGCGAAAGGCUGACUAGACCUUAGGUAUAUGUGCUAGGGCUAGUAUAUAUGUUAGAGUUCGAAUAAACUUGAUAUCACUUAACUGAAUUCUAAGUAUAUGACUUAGAACUCUGUCGAUUUGGAGAUGUUUUGCCUUAGUUAUAUGUGCUAAGCCAAUUGACUUAGCCCUAAGUAUAUGUAUUAGGGGUAGUCGAUAUUUAAUUUUUACUCUAGGUAUAUGUGCCAGAGUAAAAAAAAAGUUCACGAUGAGAUUUGGGUAUUGGUUCAUGAGAUUUGAGUAUUGGCUCAUGAGAUUUGGUUCAUGAACUUUGAUAUGGUUCAUGGGUUUGGUGUAUGAAUUUGGUUCAUGAACUUGGAUAUGGUUCAUGGAUUUGGUGUAUGGAUUUGGUUCAUGAACUUGGAUAUGGUUCAUGGGUUUGGUGUAUUAGUCGCUGCUAGGUCGGCUAUUGAAAUUCUAUCGCUAACUGUAGCGAAUUUCGUUCGAAAAGCAUUCUUCAUUUCAUUCCAAGUUUUGAUUGAGUCAUCUUCGAGAGAAUAAUACCAAUCAAAAGCUAUCCCGGUCAAGCUCUGAGGGAACUGGCGCAACAAUAAUGCACUGUUGCCUCCGGUGUUACCACACGUGGCUUUGAAAUGUGCCAAAUGUUGGUCCGAAUUGCCCACUCCAUUAAACUGUUUGAAUUUGGGGAUAACAUACCCUAAAGGGAAGAGUAUAUCAUCAUAUUCCACGGGAUACGGAUGCCCCCUUCCUUUCUGUUUGUGUAUUGACCCUGCCAUUGACUUUUUUAAUUGAAGAGCAAUGAGUUCUGAUAUUUCAUCUCUGGUCAUGUUGUGAGUAUCUUUCUGGAUGCGAGGUGUUGUAGCCAACUGAUUCGUCCGAUUUUCUUCGGUUGAUGGUGUGGACAAGUUCAAGGUCGGUGGUAUAGCUUGAACUUCAGGAUUGCGUAAUUGCACUCCCAUGUGCGUUUGCAUGUUGCUGAACAUUUCCAAGACUUCGUCUAACUUUCUAUGUAGAUUUGAUAUGUCCUUGUCCUUUUCCUCCAGCUUCUUUCUCAUUGAAUCAAUUAGGAGAUCUUUAGGAUCCCGGGGGAGAAAAGCGGGUUCCUCUUCAUUCUCCUCUAUAUUAAACGGGUCAAGAGGUAAGUCAGUAUUAGGAUGUUGGGGUAAGUCCGUGUUGGGGUGUUCUCCUAUCCCUUGAGAAGAACCGCCCCUUCUUGUUUCAGGGGCCUUCUUCCCUUUGCGCAGGAGAGCAGCUCUUGUAGCUAUCUCCCUCAGCGUUGGAUUACCAUCAUCAUUAUCUUCUUCUGUAUGAUUGACCAUCCUUACUGUAUGGAUAGUCAACCUUUUGGAGCUUCCUCUUUGUUUCUCCGGAUUAUCAGAGAGAGAGAGAGAGAGAGAGAGAGAGAGUGAGAGAGAGAGAGAGAGAGAGGAGAGUAUAAGCUCUCCUUUUUUUUGUUUCUCACCUUUUUUUUUCUUUCUUCUGUUCUUUUUUUUUCUUCCUGCUUUUGGUUCUCUUUUUUGGAUCUCCCCCUUUUUUAUUCAGAGGCCUCCUUAUAUUAAGCCUCUAAUGGCUUGUGUUUUUUUUAGAAACUAUUCAAAUUUUUUUUUGAAAAGGAAUGGUACCUUGAUUAAGGUAUGAAAUUUUUUUCUUUUUGUUUUUUUAGUAUCUUUUCUUCCCUUUCUUUUUUUUGAAGUGGGAUAUUUUUUUCAAAUUUUACAUUUUUUCCUCUUUUUUUCUCUUUCCUUUUUUUUAUUUUUUUUAUUUCAUUUUUUUUUAUUCAAACAAAUUUAUGUAUAAAAAAAUAAUUUAGCUGUUUUAAUUAAAUUAAUUACAUAAAAGUAUAAUUAUAUUAUUUUUAUUUAUUAAAUUAUUUAUUAUUUAUAUAUAAAUUAUAUUUUACAUCAUACAUUUCCUACCAAACAAACAGCAGAACUAAUAACUUCAUUUCCAUAACUACAAAACAAACAGCGGAGAAGUAGUUUUCAUCGAACUCCACUUCAACCCAAAGUUCGGUUUCGAUGAAACAAACAUUCCCGUAGCUAGGGAUGCAAACGGAUCCGGGUUGGUGGAGCUCCCGCCCCGAUCCGUCCCGACGGGGACAGUAAAUGGGAGAAAUAAACGGAUUCGGGGCAAGAAAUGGGAGAAAUUUUGACCCGCCUCGAAUCCGCCCCGCCAUGAUCCGCCCCGAAUCCGCCCCGAAAAUCAUUUAUAUUUAAAAAAUAUAUUCUUAAAAAAUAAUGUAUUUAUAAAAAAAAGUUCAAAAUGCAAAUAAAUUAGUACUCUCAUUUCUAAUGUAUUUGAAAUUUUUAAAUUUUGUUUUGAAUUGUGAUUGAUAUUUUUUAUUUUUAUAAUUAAUAUUGUUAAAUUAUAUAUAUAAUAUUAUUAAAAAUUAUUAAUUUAUAAUUUAUAAAAUAUUAAUAAUAUUAUAAUUUUAUAAAAAAAUAUUAGUUGGGGGGGCGGAUUCGAGGUGCCGGCGGGAGGUGGGUUACGAGGCGGAUUAUGGGAUGUAUUUUUAACCCGUCACGAAUUCGGGUCGGGAGGCGGGGCGGGAUUUUACUAGUCGGGGCGGGAGGCGGGGCGGGGCUCGUGCCCGCAGAUCCGCCCCGUUUGCAUCCCUACCCGUAGCGCUGAGUCCUAGCAUUGAGCUAACUACCACCUCCUCUUAUUCUUUGCUGAAGAAGACAUUGCACCGAGCCUACAACCUUCUAUUAUUGUUGUUUUAGACCUUGUGUUUCCUUAUUCUACAUUUAUCUACUUGAUUUAGUAAAUUAGAAAUUAAUUAGUAAUAUAUAGUAUUAAAAAUUCAAGUUUGUCAUGGGGACGUAGCGCCCAUCAUGUUGCCCACUAUCCACUAUUUGUCAUAAAGACCCCUAACAGCGACAUGCCUGCCUGAUGCCACGCACCAUUUAGAACAUUGGUUGUACCUCAUAACGAUACAUUAAACUUGCUCUAAAGCUUUCUUGCAUCUAAUUCCUUGGGGUUUGGGACUGGUUGCAACAGAGAAAACUGAGAAUGUAAAAUCAGAUAUUAGGUGACAGAUAUUUCGAUUAGUGGAUUAAAGGACAUUAUGAAAAUUUAAGUAUUCAAAAAGUUUAUUUCAAUCACAUGUUGUAUCACUGUAGGAAACUUGGCUCUGAUACAAUGGCAAAUCAGAUAUCAGGCAACAAAUGUCUUGAUUAGUGAAUUAAAGGACACCAUGAAAGUUUUAGUAUCUAAAGAGUUCACUUCAAUCUCAUGUUGUAUCAGAGUAGGAAACUUGGCUCUGAUACCAAGUUGAUGCAGCCUUCCAGACAUGCUGGGUAGGAUUUAGGUUACGAUCUUAACAAAGUUUCUAUUCAGAAGAGAAAUCAAGACUUCAUGCACUGGCUAAUAUAUAACCAAACCCUAGCCAACAUGUAGGCUGGAAAACAUUUUUGGGUUGCAUCAUUCCAGAUUGCAAUAGCUUUAGGUAUUAGAUGAUUACAGUUUCUGAUCUUUCAGUUUAGGUCAUUUUGACUUCAAGGUUGCCUAGGGUUUUAGGUCACUGGAAUUCAGUCUGCUGUGUUCGGAUUAUCUUGGGUUUCAGACAAUCAGACUAUUAGGUAGUCAAGUUUAAAUCAUUUGGAUUCCUGGUGGUUUUAGAAUUGACUAUGAUGGAUUGAUUUUUUUAGUUCCAGCUCUUUUUGAUAUAUAAUUUGUUCUUUGACUUUUCUGCUGGGUUUGAAUAGAUUGAUAGCUGAGAGUUAAUAAUUGCUGAAAAAUUCUUGCAAACCCUCUAUUAUGAAUUAUUGGUUUUUCUAAAAAAGGAAUUUCUGAAAGCUUGUCUUUCAAUAGUAUUAUCUGUUGAGUACUAACUAUAUGAUGAUGUUUCUCUAUGAAAUAUCAUCUAUAUAUUUAUAUUUGUUGUGUAUUACCUAAAUUCAUUGAUAUUUUGUGUACAUUUCUGUAUGAAAUAUCGUCUAUUAAUCAUUUUUUUAAGAGGUUAUGCAAUUAGAACCAAAUCAUUCUUGAAAUUUAUAAAUUUCUCUAUAGUAGCACUGCCGCCAGCUAACAAGCUAACAACCGGCCCUCCUUACCCCAUUAGGAUCAUUGUAGGGGCCAUUUCCCUCUCUCCCAUUCAUUGGCCACCCUCCAUCUAUUUAUGAAUACCCAACGACCUUACCUGCACCCUACCUGCACACCAAGGAUUUAAGUGCCGUGGCACGGGGUCGUGCCGAAAACUUGCCCGCACGGUGUGUGCCAAGUCGUGCCGAUGCGCGCUGAUUAAAAAAAUUCUUUUGUGCCGACGCAUAAUAGCAUGAAAUAUUUAUUUUCUUCAGCAACAAAAUAUUCUAACUAUUUAUUAUGUCUUUUUAUCACAUCUUUUGAACUUUAUUGAAGAAAUUACUUACUAAUUUAAAGAAUAGAGGGUUUUGAGCUGUGCCAUCGGCACGGAGCCUGUAUCGUGCCGGUAUUUUGUUGGCACGGUGGAUACGGCCCGUGCCGUCGGGCACUUAAAACCUUGCUGCACACAGCGCCUUCUCUCUGUCUCUCUCCCUACCUGUGCACAGCAACUUCUCUCUCUCUCUCUCUCUCUCUCUCUCUCUCUCUCUCGCACACACCUUUGCUCUACACAUCUUCAAGCAUUUGGUGUUUCAUAACAACAAUCUAUUCAUUCAACGUCCGACAUACCAGUCCUUUAUAUUAUUGUUUAACCUAACAGGUAUCUACAAAGUCAAGCCAAAGCAUCAAUAAUAGAUACAAAAAAUGAAAUGUUGUUAUUAGUGAAAUGCUUUUGCCUCUAGCCUCUUUCGAGUUAUUUGGAAGAAAAAGCUGCUCUGUAGGAACUAGUUGACUACUAAUUUUACUAAAAUAAAUUGGUAAGUAAAACAAUUUCGGGAUCUGAUAGAUGCGACUCAGAUCAAGUUUUUUUUUGGUUAUUACCUUCGUGAAAAGCUAUUAUUGAGAGACGAAAAAAAAUACAAACAAAAAUAAUGAAGAAACUCGAUGAGUGAUGUGUUUGCUCUCUCAUGAGUAAUUGAAUAAGAUGACCCAACAAUGUGCAUUGCUGGUUAGUUUGUUCCAUGAUAAGAAUCAUCAUUGCUUGUGCAUCUAAUGUUAAAUAUAGUCUAGUCGCCUCACUGUGUAGUCAAUGGCUAGGUAUCUUCGACAGCAUUUGAGAAAGACGAAGAACAAGCUCUAUGGAGUGCUUACUUGGAAGUUUCUACAAAAAUUCAUCCAGGUAUGCAGUGCGUAGUGUGGCAAACUGAGAAUAUGUAAUUGUUCGAUCUAUCAUUUUUAACUUUUAUGUUCUCUGCCUUAAUAGGUGUUGAUAUUGAAACUUUUGCGCAAACAUCUUUGCUAUUGCUACAACCCCUUGAAGAUUUUUUCAACAAUGUCUUUGUUAUGGCGGUAAGUUCCAGUAUAACUUCUCCUAGUGUUCCUAUCUGGGGAUAACUCAAUUGAGCUGUGAUUUGACUAAAACCUCCACAUGUUUUUUUAUAUAAUUAGCACAUUUUAGGUAGUAAAUUCUUGUAGAAGAUGGCACGUUGUAGGUUAAUACGUGAAAUUUUAACCUAAUACAAUAAUAUCUAAAGCAUGUAUUCUUUAAAGAGCGUUCAAACAGCAUCUUACUGGAACAACUGUUGUACAUAAGGGAGAAAGCAAUCUUCAAUUUGUUCUCUAACUAAUUUGGUUGGGAUGCAGCACAAUAAUCCUACAUUCUCUGUUUGCCAUACAACGAAGAACUUACAUGUGGUAGUUGCGGUAGGACAAACAGCACAAAAACUAAACUGAGGACUGAACUCACCCACAUUGUUAUUUAGAGGGCCCAAAAAGAUCCGGAAGCUCCUUGGAACUUCCAUCCUCUGAUGCUAAAAAUAAAAUAUUGAUGGUACUUCCCAACUCUGGUGCUAUAAAUAAAAUAGUGAUGGGAACCACCACCGAAGAAGCAUCCAGCCUGAUGCUUCUUCGGUGGCAAUUCCCACCAUCAUUUCACAGCAUAGGAGUUGGGGAACUCAAAACAUUUUCAAGUUAUAUGGGCUCUCUAAAAUAUCAAAACGGGUGCAUUUGGCCGCCUCCUUGAACUUUGGUGUUGGUAAUCAUAGUUAUGUAGUACUUUUAAGGCCUAAUUACCUGCACAUGAUAAUCUUUUUCUUAUACUGUCGGGUAAUACUUGUAGUUAUUGUAGUCCAAUAAAAAGUACUGUUACUGGCACUUGGUCUGACUGAUAGCACAGUGAUGGAUUCUCAGUCUAGUUGUAGGUUAUUCUGGGUCUAGUAACUCUGUAAUAUAUAGUAUUUAGUUUAUUUCUAACAAGUAAUAAUACUGUAAUCAUCUGUAAUCUGAAUGUUCCUUAAGUCUCCUUUUUUUUUUUUCUACUGGCAUGCUGUGAUAAUAUCUAUCUGCCCUUAUAUCACCUAAUAAUCUUCUGCAUUUUCCGAUUUCCUAAGAUUUAUGAGCAAUUUAUUUUUGUAAUCUAGCUGUGAAUGUUAGAAUCCUACAUUAAGUGUAUCAGCAUCUACAGAAGCAUAGACAAGACUAUUCGCUAGUCUGCAUCCUGAGGUUGGAUCACAAUGCUUAAUGAGCUUGUAGGCCCAGAAAGCAAAAGCUCCAAAACAUCUACUUAUGUUUUCAGCAAGAAAGCUGCAGCAGUCAGGAACAUGAACAGCUGCUGAAAAUUUUUUGCACAGCUCUACUGAAACAUCACCUGUAGAGAAGCUUUCUAGCCUGGCCAAGCAGGCUCUUGAAAAGCUCUAGAUAUUACCUACUAUUGUUGUCAUAGAGGAGAAUUUAUUCUGCUUGUUUUAGAAUCAAUGGUACUUAUUUUCCUCAAUAGUAACAAAAAGGGAGAUUAUUGUCCAUUUAAGAUCUGAAAAUAAAAACACUCUGUUCAGGAGGACCAAAGUAUCAGAAAUAAUCGGUUGGCGCUUCUUAAGAAGAUUGCGGACUUACCGAAAGGCGUCGCCGACCUCUCAGUUCUACCUGGAUUUUAACACAACCAACAGCGUACUCCAACGCGUAACACAUUCCUUUUUUCUUUUUCUUUUUUGACAUUUGUAAUGAGAGAAUGUUCAAUAGAUGCUAAUUGUAUGAUCGGAGUAUACUAUUUAUUCUCUUGCCCUCGCGGUUACUUUGUGCUCCUUUGGUUAUGGUGAGGACCUUUUUCAAUAUAAAUGUGAUACUCUUACCACAUCGUAUGGAAAUGCGAUUAUAAUUGGGCAUAUAAGAGACCAUGGAUCCUAAUAAUAAUAAUUGGGCUUAAGUAUUUUGGGCCGGUGGUUUGGAUUCAACGAGUUUUUAUUGUUAAUGAGCCGGAUCGUUACAGUAAAUGUAGUGAAAAUUUAUAUAUAUUUUCGCACACUCUACAUAUUAAAAACGAGUACAGUUUUUCCAUAAGAUAUGUUUAUUCUUGUCCAGGAUCUUCAGUCAAUGCUAUGUGAGAUUAUAAGCACUGUUGAAAAACCUACCAUAGGGAUUUGAAGAUCAGAAUAAGUGUUGGAGAUUUAUUUUUAAUGAAUGGAAUAAUGUUUCUCUGGGUUUUUUUUUAUGUUCUGGACAAGUGGAUUUUAGUAGUUGAUUUUCAAAAUAGUAUAAUUUUCUAUACGCAGUCGUUUUGGAUAUAUUGUUUAUUAUGUUUAUUAGAUGCCCAUUUUGCAUAAAAAUCUCACCGGAUUUGCAAACUUGCAAAUUCGGUCUAUGUUUUUGGAUUUUACAGAUUUAAUCUGUUUUUCUAGAAAUUUGAACAAAUUGCCCCUCUACCCCAAAAAAAUAAAAAAUGUAUACAGUAUACAAAUCAAAUAUUUUUUGUACGGCGCAUAUUAGCAUCCCAAGAAAAAAUGUGUAAUGCCGCCUAAUAAUUCUAAUAUGUUUGUUUAUAAUCUGGAGACAUAACUAGAACGUCGGGAUCUAAAUGAGGGGAGUUUGUAACAUUUCAAUAGUUUUACAUAGGAUGAAAAAUGAAUUCUAAUUGAAAAUAUAAGAUUAUGCAUUCUAAUAAUAAUAAUUAGAUUUAAGUAUUUUGGGUUAGUUUUUAGUAGGUCAUGUCGUUACAAAAUAACUAACAACAAAAGAGGUAGACAACCUACUUUUUUUAAGAAUUUGCAUAAAUUGUUAUCUCUAAUGUGAAUCCUGUAGUUUUAUUUGUGCUGUUUUUAUUGUUUCUUGUGUGAAUUUUUUUCUAAAAAAAGUAAAGGUCACGAAAAUAUAAGAACUAAAUAUAGCAAAAAAAGUAUAGAGAUUGUAAUAUCUUCUUAAAUAAUAUAAUAUUUGUAUAAAUUGUGGAAUACAUGUAUAAAUAUUGUUACGUACCUCUUAAUUCUUCGUUCUUUUCUUUUUCUUUUUCAUCUUUGUUCCUUGGGCUUUUUUGGCUUGUAGCCCCUCAACAAAAAAAAAAAAAAUUCAAUAACCUUACAGAAUUUAUAUUUGCAAGAUUGAUUUUAUCCCUAUCACUCAAGUGUCAUAUAAGCGUGACUAGCAGUCCAGGGUUUAAGUUGAACAAGGUGAAUCAGGCCUGGUGGUAGCUAAGGAUUGUGAUGGGUUCUAGCCAGCCCAUGCUUAGCCGGCUCGGUCCUCGAGUCACCUGACCCAUGCCCCCAUGCGACACUGCCCGCACAUCAUGCCCAGCUCACGGCCGGCCACGGCACCACCCGGGAGGGGCCGUCGUGACUAUUGCUUCCGAUCGAGCAAGCACGAUGGGGCGCCUUUUUUCAUAUUUUAUAAUUUUGUGUAAAUAUACUUAAAUUAUUUAAAAAUAUAUUUUUUAAAUUUUGAAAAAAAAAAAUCAUGCUAGACAUAAUUAAAAUAGGUUUUGAGGGGUUUAUAUCAAGUUUAGAUCGAAUUAGAAUCAAUUCGGAUCAAAACAAUACUUCAAAACUUUGAAUUUGAAUUCCAGACUAAUUCGAACAACAAGAGUUUGGGCACCCAGAAUAGAUUUCGGGCCCCUUGCGACGCCCAGAUCUUUUGAACCUUAUCCAGAUAGUUGGAUUUGGGAAAAUCUAGAAUUCAGAUGCCCAGAAUACUUAUGGGCGUUCGAAUGUUGAUUGGGACUCCACCCGCGGGCGCGGAGAUAACAUUCAAACUCUCUAAUCCAGAAGAACUUUCAAAUAGCCCCUGUGGGGACACCCAGAAGAACUUUCAAAUAGCCCAUUGGAAGCGCACCCGAAUGAGUUUCGGAUCCUUUCUCCUGAGAGCGCGAUAAAAUAAGCAUUCGGAUGCCUGAAAGUCCUGCGACGUCCGGAUUGUAAAGUGGGUGGAGUCACUGGGCACUCGAUUCCUGAACUGGGCGCGACUACGAUCGAUUCGGGCGCCCGAAAUCCUGUGCACAUAUUUUGUUUUGUCCGGAUUGUAAAUAAAAAGAAUUGAGCAGCUUAGUGCUAUUGUAGCACCCCUAUAAAAUGGUUCUCACACUAUGAACCCUAACCACAGCCAUUGUUUACUCUCCCUCACUCUCUCUCUCUUCCCUUUUCUUUCUCUAAAAGAGAAGAGGUGUCGUUGCUUCCUCUUCUUGGAGCUUAGGAAUCCAUCUUCUCCAAAACUUAGAAAAGGUGGAGUGCUUCAAGAAGAAGCUUUAGGAGGAAGAAGUAGCUCUUCUCUCCCACGUUUAGAUUACCAGAAAAAGAAGAGAUAGAGUUCGUAUUUUAUUAGGGUUUGGUUUUAGGGUUUUCUCAAAUGGAGAUUUUUAGAAUUCUAACUUCACUAGAACCGUAUUUAGUUUUUCUUAGUGAUUUUAAUAAGAGAUCAAGUCUAGCUAUUGUUGAGGAUCAAGCAAAUGUGGGGAUUAUUAUCAAAAAUUUUUUUUUUUGAUAUCUUUGUUAUCCAAAUCUUUUUUGUAUUAUUAGCAUGUAUUAUUGGUAAUAAAUAAACUAAAUAUGAUAGUUGCAUAUUAGGGAAAUAGAAUUUUCUAACCCAUUGUAUGGUAAAUGACAUUAUGUGUGAUGCAUGUAAAAAAUUUGGAAACCUUGCAUAUCGGUUAAACAAGUGGUAUUUAAAUUUAGGUCAAAACUUAAGGUGAAAUAUAGUAAUGACAUGUGAACUCUAGGCUGUGUGUAAAUUAGAGAACCAGGAUGAACAUGGUUAAAACCUUAGAAGUCAUGAACUUAGAGUGUAAUGGUAAAAUAUGUGCGGUCUUCAAAAAGUAUUAAAAAAUAAAUGGAGGUGUGGAGCGAUUGACUCCCUAUGAGGUACUUGGAGAGUCCGAAACCAACAGACUCCAUUUACCUACCGAUUGGAAAUGUGCGAGUGAUCGACUCUCCACGAAGUGUUGCAAAUAAAGAAACUAAACCACCAAGUUAGUUAAAACAAAUGGAUGCUUGAAAGGCAUGAGAUGGUUAGAGGCAUGCAAUAAUUUGGGUAAAUAUGUAACCAAUGAUAUAGUAACAUCUUGUAUACUUCAGACAUUCUAGUUGCAUUUUUAUUAUUGCAUUUCUAUUAUAGAGAUAUUUGUUAUAAUUAUUGUUUGUCUAUUAAUAUUUUUCUUGGACUGAGUGAGUGUAAAGUAUUACUUUUUAUAGUUGCACCCACUGAAAACUCACUGUUGUUCUCAUUUCUUUAUUGUUUGUCUUUUUUUUUUUUCAAAGGCUAUGGUUGUGGUGAGGUGCGUGUAGGGGUGUAAUGUUGGCAGUGCCGAGCCGGCAGGGCCCACAUUAGCCGACUGGAAACGGGCCGCAGGGCAACCCGGCCCGGCCCAUCGUCAAAUCCGGGCCGGACUGUACCAGGCCAAAGCUAACCAGUUCUCGGCCCAGCACGGCCCUCUGGCCUAGAAGUCACAGGCUGUGCUCCGGGCCGGCCCUUUAAAUUUUUUUAUUUUUAAAAAAAUAUGUUUAAUUUAAAAAUAACAAUAAUAAAUUAUUUGUAUUUAAACUAGUAUUUUGAUUAAAAAAUUUUAAAAUUUAUAGAAAUAACUAUAAAAUAAUUUUAAAUUUUUAAAAAAUAUAUGAAUUUUUAUUAUUAUUUAAAAAAAAAGCUUUUGGUCCAACAGACUAAAAGUCUUUAGUCCAUUGGGCUAAGAAUCACCUCUCACAAGGUCUGGCUCUUGGCUCGGACCCCAUUGGGCCUUGGGAUUCGGACCGUGUUGGCUCUUCUGGCAUGGCCCAAACAGGCCGUGCCGUGUCGGGCUGCCCGUCUUUCUUCAGCCCGGCACGGCCCAGGCAUGGUUCGGGCCAUGCCAUGCCAGCCCGUCGGGCCCAAGGGGGAGCGGCCUAGCACGGCCCAAAAGCUCGGGCCGAACCAGGCCGGGUGCUGCAGCUCGGCCCGAAGCCAUGCCUGGCCGGGUGGCCCACGUGUUGCCUGACCCGUUUUACACCCCUAGGUGCCUGGUUGGCGUAAAGGUGUCGCAUAAUAGUGAAUCUAGAGAGGUCUAAAUAAUACCUCUUUUUAUAGCCAGAAAAGAUGCUUAUAAUAUUUUGGCACCCUUCGUGGAAUAGUUGAACACUUAAUUUCAAUUGAAAUGUUUUUACUAAUGUGGUUACAUUAAACAAUCUUAAGCAGUCAAACUAAAUGCAAACCUUGUUGUUGUUCUUGGCACUCUUUGUGGUUUUGACCAUUUUAUAAUUUUGGUUGUUGAUAACAUUGUGGAGGAUAACGACAAUAUAGAGAAACUAUAACAAUGUCUAUAUUAUUACUCAGCGCAUCGCUUCGGUUUCUUAACUAGUAAUUGAUGAUGACACAAAAAUUAUCAUUUCUCCACGUGAAUUCAGUGAGGAAGACGAGACCGACGUGCUUGGGUUAAUGUCAUUGUAUUUUUAAGAUUUAAUUUGUNGAGCUUUUGGCAAUUAUGAGGGCUCAUUAUGAGGGCUCAUUAUGUAGGCAAUAGUGGGUGAGUUAUGUGGCUAGUGGGUGAGUUGAAAAGGCUCAUUAGGUCUAUAAGUAGUGGGGUUUGGUUAAGGUCAAAACACACAAGAGAGAGUGUGUGUAUGUGUGGGUUGUAAUCUCUUUUCUAAGUAGUGUAGUACUUAGUUUUUUGAGUGAACUUCUGCCUCUCUCUCUUUGUCAUUCCCUUUGCAUAUUUAGUCGUAGGACGCGAAGGUCCAGACUAGCAACAGGGGCGAAGGCUUGCCCAUCUUCGAGCAGGAAGGCGGGCGCCGCACGGACUUUGUGAACAGAAUUGCUAAGGCCGUGACAAGCUGCUGGCUUUAAAUGGCAGUUUAUAUAUUGAAGAUGCACAAUCUUUGCAAAUUUGAAACCACCUGUAAAUGGGAUUUUGACACACGUAAUCGAAUCCUAAUAGAAAUGGGAUAAAACCAUUCAUAUAUAUAUAUAUAUAUAUAUAGAAGACAACCAAGGAAAACCGAAUAGCGAAAAUAAAUAUAUUUUGCUCAGACUCCCCCCGAUCAUCGAACAUCAUUAGAUUGGCGCCGAAUCCUGGGCACUUAGUACUGGGGAUUGAGUUUCAACCGACAUGUAUACCGAAAGUAUUCUUAGCCAAAAUAAGAGGAACUGGUUGCCUAGGGGAAAGGCCAUCCAAAGUCCCCCUUCUACCAGUGAAGAAGCAGAUCAAUUGGUUGGCUAUGAAGCAGGUCACACAAAGCACCUUCAGGACCAGUGGAGAAGUAGGACACCCGAAAUGAUUCUAUCAUCAAGCAAGAAGGCCCGGCGCGUCCUCAACUAUCGCAAAUAAUUCACAUUCAAGGGGAAGGUCAUCAUAGCAUAGGACAAAAAGGAGUAAAGAGAAACUCUGAAAAAUAGAAGGACUGGACUAAAAGUGAGGAAAGCAAAGUACCCCAAAAGCAACAAAACAUCAUCGAAAACCACGCCGACCUGAACUCAACAUAUGUAGGACUAAAUCAAAAUAUGCCGCAUUAAGAAUUCAACAAAUUGAAUUCUGAAACACCCAGCCAAAAUCUGAAUAUAAUAUGAUGAAUUCAACAUAUUGCCUAGCUAAAUUGAGCUGAAUCCAGAAUUCCCGAUGUAAUUUUGAAUUGUGUUGAUGUAUUCUGCAUGCAAUACAGUGUCCAAGCUUAUAUUGGAGACCGUCAACCAAACAAUGCCAGCAGUAAGACGUUCUAUUGUGAAUGAUAGUAAGCCAAAGCAUAAAAGUCAGAAACUAAAAUUAUUUAAUUUCACAUUGCAAAUUUGAGCAAAUUAAAGAGGGUAAAGCGGAAACCAAAAUCAACCGAAAAGACCAGGUUGCCAGUUCUUUUUCUCGGAUGACGGCUAGGAGCAUACUGACAUUCAAUAUUCCACAAACUAAAUUUCGCCAAUAGUCUUCUAGAAUUCAGAUUCAUGAAUCCCAACCGGCUGUGUACAAAGUAUGUCAGCGAAAAUGCCCCAAUGACUAACCAAAAAGGCCCGGGCCGAUGUUAUUCAUCGUAAACAUUCAACAUUCAAGUUAUUUCAUGGACAAACUUGUAGUGGAUAAACAGAUAUAGAAGAACUUAGAAAACUUUUGCUGAAUCCUGCAUAGUGUUAAAUUCCUAAUUAGGAACUAAGGCCAUGAAUUUAAAUCCUUUAAGGAAAUUAGCCCAUAAAUUUCAGGAAAAAAAAUUUUGAAACUUCAAGGUCAGUGGUAGAAAUAGUUUACACUUAAAACCAUAUGAUGUAAACAUAGAAUACAAAGAACAUGCCUGGUUACUCUUUACAAAUGUUGAGGUGGAGCAAGCAAAUUAAAGCUAUUGCAAACUCCAUGCAGGUUGAAAAGAGCUUGAAACUUUUAGAGGACAAAGGAAUACAUAAAACCAAACAGAGGGAUCCCAAAGCACAUGUCAUAUUUUAAGCCCAAAAGUACGCAUAAACUUAAGCUACAAAGCAAGGAUUUAAGUGCCGUGGCAUGGGGUCGUGCCGCAAACUUGCCGGCAUGGUACGGCACGGUGCGUGCCGAGCUGUGCCGAUGCGUGCCGGUCAAAAAAAUUCUCAUGUGCCGACACAUAAUAGCAUGAAAUAUUUAUUUUCUUUAGCAACAAAAUAUUCUAACUAUUUAUUAUGUCUUUUUAUCACAUCUUUUGAACUUUAUUGAGGAAAUUACUUACUAAUUUAAAGAAUAGAGGGUUUUGAGCCGUGCUAUCGGUAUGGGGUCUGUAUCGUGCCUGUAUCUUGUUGGCACGGUGGAUACGGCCCGUGCCGACGGGCACUAAAAACCUUGCUACAAAGUCUAGCUUAUAGUACAUAGCCUAUUUUACAAAUAAGGGAAAAGCAAAGCAUUAUAAGUUAUGGGUAUCAACCCCGGAGUACAAAAAGAGCUGAAGAAACCCUUAGACACCUAAGAAAAACCAAAAGGACACGGAGGAAGGCAGCAGCAGCAAGAAGUAGGUGCAAGCUUGCAGAACAAUAUGAAGACCAAGGGAGAAGCACAGGGCUAAGAAGCCGACCCUGAUUCAGAGGGGUUAGUCGCCAUAGUAGUACGGUCCGCAUGAAGGUGAUCGACGGUCGCACGAUAUUCGUCAAUUGUACGGCGCAUUUUCAGGUGCUCAUCUAUAUACCUCACUUUUUUGGCAACAGAUGAAGCAUAACAAUCCCUAAGAAUACUGUGUUCACGCUUCAAUUUAUUGCACUGCCCAAGGAGGUCAGUAAACUAGGCUGUAACAUUAUCGUACAUACUUUUAUACAUUAUGCAGUCGUCAUAAUUUAUAUCUUUUAUAUGAAGAUCGAGCUUAGCCUUCAUUCGCUCGAUUGCCACAUGGGCUGAAUCAUCCUUUGCCAGAAGAAAAUCAGGGGACGCAGCACCCUAGCAGCGGGCAAUUUCGACAAUUGCCCCAUUGCGCGCAAUAGGAAGGUCUAUAUACGCAACGAACCAGCCUUCAGCACCGGCUGUGGCAACACAAUCAGGGACCCGGAAACCCAACUUCUGAUAGAUUUCCUCAAGUAAUUUAAUAAAAGAGAGCUGAACAAUCGACAUCCUAACAACUGUAGUUAAAAGGGAAAUUGGAGAACGAAGCAAACAAUUUAGAAGUGCGAGGAGAUAAAUUGGGAAAAAUCAGCAUGCACAGGGACCUCAGAAAACACCAAAGUGAUCUCAUUUCCUAAAAACAUUUGUUAAGAAAUUGAUGAAUUAUGUAUAUCAUAAUUUAUAGGGAAUAGACUGGCCCUUUUGUUUUUGAAAAGCAUUUCUUAAGUAUAAAGGAAUGCACACGGACCUUAGUAAACAUCAUAGUGAUCUCAUGCCUUUAAAAAAUUUCGUAUGUUUAUCAUAAUUUAGAGUGAGUAGACUGAGCCAUCACUCACCAAAAAGGACUGAGAGAACAAAAGUUCAGUAACAGGUAAGGGGAGCUGGGCGUCGAAAAGGACAGAGUAGCACACAACCUAGGAGGAAAAAGCCAAAGCAGUGACAUCAGGCAUCCCAAGUUUUGUAUAAAAAAUUUAAUCAAUUCGAUUUCUCAAACCUUGGUCCGGAACAGGACACAGCAGCAGACAACCUAGGAGGGAAAAGGCAAUGCAGUGAUAUCAGGCACCCCAAACACCGUAUAAAAAUUUUUACAAAUUCAAUUGUCCAAACCUUGGGAAUCAAGGCAGCCACCUCAGAGUGCAGCAAGUAUUAUAGGAGGGCCUAACAGAGAACCAAAAGCACAGGGGAUCGACACCUUUCUCUAACAGACGACGGAUAUUAUAGGAGGCCGACGGAAUCUAAAGCAAGAGUUCUAAACGGAGGUAGAGUAUAGGGAACCAAAAGCCUAAACCUUAUAAACAAAGGCAACCAAUCCGUGGCAUCUCUGCAUAUAUGCAUGAAUAUUUAUAGGUCCUUGCUGCAACUAGGGAGCAAGAGGGGGAUAGGGAUGUGGGGGAGUGGGGCAGGCUGCCCUGGGGGCCCAACCGUACCACCACGUGCUAAGAGAGCGAGGAGGAGAGAGCAGGGCGGCGGAGUAGAUCAGAGAGUGGAAGAGCGCCCAUCAUAGGUGAAGGGACACUACGAGCAUGAGGGAACCCACACCCGGCGGUGACUCAGAGGAAGCCCGGGCAGGGGAAGGAAGGGGUAUUAGAUUGUAGAGUAGGGUGUAAUAAUUACAUACCAUAAACCUUAUGGGCAUCAGGUAGCCCAUAUCUAGCGGCGGUGGGGAGAAGGACGACGAUGGCCAUCGCAAAGAGAGGGAAGGCGGGUACGGCGCACGUGCGGAGAAGUGCCACGAUGCCCAUCGCAGAGAGAGGAGUUGGGGCACGGUGCACACCGGCGAAGCUAGGCCUCCUGCCACGCCGUACGCCUGCACGUACGGGGAGAGCGACAACGCCCCGUAUCCUGCGGCCAAGGUUUAAAGUGCCGUGGCACGGGGGCGUGCCGCUACGUCCUUGGCACGGUACGGCACGGGCACGCUUGCGUGCCGACACGUGGCACGCUUGCGUGCCGACAGAUACGCACGACCUCCUACUGGCACGCUUUGGCACGAAUUUAUUUAAGUUUUUUUGGUUCCAGUAAGCUUUUAUAAUGUUAUUUUGAAAGAUUUAGGCAAGUUAUUAUUAAUUUUUGCUAUGUAUAGCUUAUUAUACUCAUCAAUUAACAUGCAUGUAAGCAUUUUGUAUAUAAAGUACAACUAUACCUGAUGUAGAAUAUAAAUUAAAAUUCUUUUGUUUUUAUUUUUUUUUAUUUGAAAAGUACAACUAUACUUGCUGUAACAAUUGAAAAUUCUUUUGUUUUUAAUUUUUUUGUAAUUUAAAAAAUUAUAACAGAUAAAAUGAUAGAAAAUUUUAUUUUUCUUAAUAAAACGUUCUCAAAUCAUGAUAUAUUGAUUCGAUUAGAAAUAUAUAUAUACUAAUAGAACACGAGAAUAGUACCGCAUUACAUUCCAUAUUUUUUUAUUCUUUAAAAAAGUAUCUAAUCAAAAUUUUUAGAAAUCAAAUUUUGUUCCCUGAUUCAUCGAAAACUUGCGGUGCCGACAAAUUUUGACACAAAUAAUUUGACGAAGAAAAAAAUGGAUUAUCAACUAAAAAUUUGCUUUUAUAUGUUUAAAUAAGAAGUUAAAUUAUAAUUUUAAUUUAACAAAGAAAAAAGAAAAAGUCAAAAGAAAAAGCCAAAAGGCAAAAAAAAAAAAAAAAGGCAUCAGCCAAAAAGAAAAAAAAAGUUGACAAAAAGACAACACAAUGUCAAAAAAAUAAAAGAAAAGUGAACAAAAGCAAUAUAGAUGGCGGCGCGAGGCUCUGUAUCCAGAGAACAAAAAAAAAAGAGACAAAACCAAAAAAAAAAAGCCAAAAAAACUAUAAAAAAAAAGCUGGCACGGCGGCACUGCCGCCGGACAUGCACCCUGCCGCUCUGUCUCGAGCGCACGGGGCAUGUCCGAGGCACAUGGGGGGGGUCGAGAACCCCCCUGUGCCGUGCCGCCCUUCUUGGGGCACGCACGCACGCCCCUGCCGCACGCACGGGCUGGCACUGCUAUCCUUGCCUGCGGCAUCUGCGAGGGUUUUGGCUUCGUGAGAGAGGGAUCGGAAAGAGGAUCGGUAGACAGAGUUCGGGAGACACGGGUAGGCGACACGUAGCCCUUCCGAUAACCCACGUUACGCGGACCGUUUUGAAAUGCAUGCUUUUAUAUAUAAAAAAUAGAUAUAUUAUAAUAUAAUAGUAUAGAUAUAGAUAUAGAUAGUAUAGAUAUAUAUAUUAUAUGUAGUUAGAUAUAAUACUAUUUAUAUUAUAUAUAAAAAGUGUAUUUCAAAUUUCAAUCUGACAUAGAUAGAACUAUUUCAAAAUUUCUCUUGUUUGUACGUAAGACUCUUUUUUCACUACCUCUUAAUAUUUUUUUUUAAAUAAUGUAAUGAAAUAAACUUUUAAUUUCUCUUUUUUAUCUAACUGUUCAUAUUUUUUUAUUAAGUAUUUUAAUCAUUUAAUAUCUUUUCUUUUUAAGGUGAAUAAUUAUAGAUUAUCUCUAUUCUAUCUACUAAUAUGUUUUAUUAUAUUAACUUUUAUUGGUUGGAAUCAAUAAUCAAAUUUAAGUUAAAAUUUUAAAUACAUAUUUAAAUUUUAAUAUAUUUUUAUUUUAAAUUUUUAUUUAUCCAAAAUUUAGAGGUGAAAUUGAAUUAUAUAAUUUUAAUUUUAAUUUUAAAAUUUCAAAUUAAAAUUAAUAUUUUAGUUUAAGCCAUGAAUUUAUUUCUUGGCCAAUUUGCAUAAAAAAUCUACUAGUUUUGCGCUUUUGCAAAAAUGGGCCAUUUUUUUGAUUAAAAAAUUAUUAAACUGAAUCUCCAACCCUAAGUUAAUGCUGCGCCUCUCUUCUACCUCAUCCGCACCUUUGCCAACUCCCAUGGUGACGAUGGGGGCUCUGAUAUGGCAAAGAUCGUAAAGGUAAGACUACACUACAACAAAAACGGUAUAUAGCGCCACUUUUAAAUGUCGAUAUAGGUAAAAAAAAGUACUGCUAGGUAAAUUAUCGACACUUAUAAAAAGUGUUGCUGUAGUAUCCCUGGUGUUUGGUUGCCCAUGAGAUUUCAGCAUCUAGGGUUUGUCGACACAUCUGGAGAGCGUCGGGACAAGUCGGAGUCAUUUUGGUGCGAAAUGGACGCAAAACGAACUCGACGCGAGACGAGAAUGGAGUUCUGACGCUGAAAUCCGCAAAGUGCAGGAUUUCAGUGUUGAGUACCGGUACGGUAUCGGGCUGGUACCGAUACCCCAGUGUAAUUCCAGAACAACAUGCUCUCGAAUUGCGUCAAUUUGAUGCUAAGUACCGGUACGGCAUCGAACUGGUACCGAUACCCUGUGUGCGAGCUUGCAGGCUGAGAGGCUGAGUACCGGUAACCAAAUCGGGUACCGGUACUCCAACUGUAAUUUUGAGUUGGUGAAAGGCCUUUUGGUCAUUUAAGGCAUCGUUAAUAUCAACCUUAUCCCUACCUCUUUGUAUGUGUAGAGAGACAGAGGAGGUUUUUGGAUUGCUACUCUCUCUCUCUCUAGUUCUUGAUCAUGUUCGAGGUGGAGGUCACGACUCGAGCUCGAGAGUUUAUCGUCGUUGCGCCGGAGGGUCGUUCGAGCGCGUGGGCGUCGCAGUUGCGCCGUUGGAGGCCAGACGAGCGCGUAAUUUCCUCUCCUUUCGACUUCUCGCCGUGGUUGGACGAGCUUUUCGAGAUGGGUUGAAGUUUACCGAAAUCGUCGAAAUGAUUUCUACUGUGGCCAACGUGUCGCUCCCUCCUUCUCUCCCGCGGUUCCUUCGCCCCCCCGCUCUCGACUCUUUUUCUUUUUUCCUCGGCGCGGGCGGGCGCAGGGCAGGCGGGGCGGGCACAGGCACGGGUCGCGCGCACAUGGUAGCACGGGCAGGCGAGGGCACGCGGCCCACCCUGCCACGUGCGCCGGGCGGCUCUCUCUCUCUCUCUCUCUCUCUCCCCCCUCUCUCUCCACCCCCUGGCUCUCUCUCUCACUCACCCCCGAUUCUUGCCCUCUCUGGAAUCGCAAAGGCUGCAAGGUGCGGACGAUUGUGGCACUAUGCCUCCCGCGCUCCUUUCCCAGCCUCCUUCCCCUGUCUCUUUCCGAUCUGCGAGGAUCUUCUUCUCUACCAGGUGGAGCAAUGGGAGCUCCAAAAAUUGUUCGUUUUGCUGUGCCCCUCAUAUGUUUGAUGAAAUGCUCGGCCUCCCGCGCCCCUCUCCCUGCCUCCUUCCCCUGUCUCUUUCAGAUCUGCGAGGAUCUUCUUCUCUACCAGGUGGAGCAAUAGGAGCUCCAAAAAUUGUUCGUUUUGCGGCGCCCCUCAUAUGUUUGAUGAAAUGCUCACUAGAGUCUUUUAUCCGAUUCUCUGUCCACUAUCAAAUUUUUCUGAUUUUACUAUGCUUGCUCUUGCAAUCUAUUGGUUAAUUGAAAUUUUAUAUUUUGUAUGAUUCUUAUAUAUUCUUUCUUACUGCUUAUUUUAUCAAAAAAAAGUAAAGAACUCUUAUUUGAAAAAGAAUUCUGAUAAUAGGCGAUGAUGAUGAGUUGAAACAUCAGAAUGUAUUCAGAGGUUCAACGCUUGAUUAUAGGUUUCAUACAUUGAUGAUGAAGUUUCAUAAGGUCUCUAUCUUCUCUUUUAAGUGUUUUUCGAAUUCAUAUUACAAGGUUUGGAUGGCGGGGCAGUAUGGAUGGCCACAUGGCAACCACUGUAGCUUCCAAUCCUUUGGAAGAGCUUGAUUUACACUUGAAGAGAAGAGUAGGAACUAUUUUAGUAUGUAAAUUAAUGUUGAAUCUAACUUUCUUUUCCAUGUUGCCUUCUAAUUUUUUUUCCGACUAUUACUUUUUAUUCUUUAGAUUUAUUCUAUUUUACAUAGUUUAGUUUUUUUUGCAUCGGAGGGGUAUGGGAGCUGCAUGCUCGCCAAGGACGACAGGGUUCUCGAUUGGAGGGACUACUUCGACCACCACAUGCUCCCGAUUUCGUCUCCAAUUACAGGUGAGAACAAAAGGUGCCUCCUUUUUCCUCUUCGAACAUUUUGUCUCUGAAUCACAUAUAUUGCAAUACAAUACUUGCCAUAAAAAGAGAUUGUAUAAUUUAUCUUAUAAAAAGGAUCACUUUCUUUGGUUUACAAACAAUAAAAUGUUGUAUUUUAUUUUAAAAAUCACUUCAUCAGGGAGUAAAGUGCAGUGUAUAUAAAUGUUCAGCGACGUCGCGCCCACGCCCGCUCGCACCGCCCGCUGGCACUGGGGAGAGGGGGAGAGAGAGAGAAAGAGAGAGCCGGGGAGAGGAGAGGAAAAGAGAAAGAGGGUGGGGGGGAGAGGGAGAGAGCCAGGGAGGGAGGAAGAGGAAAAGAGGGAGAGAGGGGGAGAGAGACUCUCUCUCUCUCGCACGCGCGCAGGGUGCGGGUCGCGCGGACAUGGCAGGCCNCGCGCCCGCGUCGGGACCCAACCCGCGCGGCGUGGGCCGCCUACGCUGCUCGCACCCCUUGCGCGCGCCUACGCCCACGCCCACGCCCACGCCCACGCCCACGCCCGCGCGGGCUGCGUCCGUGUCGACUCGUGCCCUCACGCGCCGCACGCUCGCCCGCGCCUGCUCUCGUCUGCACGCUUGUGCCCGCGCUUGCCCCCUCUGCGCCCCCGCCCGCUCGCGCUGGGGAGAGAGGAAGAGAGAGGGAGAGAGCCGGGAAGGGGGGGAGAGGGGGGGAGAGAGAGAUCUCUCUCCUUCUCACGCGCGCGUGCGCGAGGGGGUGCGGGUCGCCCGCACAUAGUAGGCCCCUCGCCUCUCUCUCUCUCUUUCUCCUUACCCCUUGGCUCUCUCUCUCUCUCUCCCCCACGUGCAAGCGACCAGCUCCCGGCACUCGCUCGCACCCCUUUCGCGCCCGCACCCGCACCCGCGCCCGCUCGAGAAGAAACGACAGGAGGGGGGGCGCUGAGAAGCGGCCACGUAGGCCACAGUAAAACUCAAGAUUCAUUGUAUCUAUAGAUAGUAUAGUAAAUAUAGUAAGGAAAAAGAGUUAGAUCAAAGAGUAGAGUAGGGGGAUAGAAGAGAAAAGAGGAAAUUGGGGAAAGAAAUGAGGAAGAAGAAGAUUAGAGAGAGAGAGAAGAGGACUGUAUAAAGUGCCGCCACGUGCCAUACAGCACAGGGCAGCAGGUAUCGUGCCCGGGCACGGUACAGAGAGGGUCUCGGACACCCCCCCCCCGGUCGUUUCGGCACUUUUUUUUUUCUUUUUUGCUUUUUUUUUGUUUUUUUCUUUUUGUUUUGCUCUUUGGGGUACCCGAAGCAUCCUGGGUACCCCACACCCCUCCCAAAGACAUUGCAAUUCGAAAAUCUACUUGUUAGGUAAGUCAAAAAAUUAAUAUUUUUUUUUUUAUCAAUAUACAAGUAAAUUUUUAAUUUACAUAUAUAAUCCACCAAAAAUAUCCAUUUUUUCUUCAUAAAUUGCUUUAUUAAAAUUUGCCACACCACGAAACUUUUGGCGAAUUAAGGGAACAAAAUCGAACUCAAUAAAUAAAUUGAGGCAUAUCAAACAUAAAAUUUUAUUUUUUCGCUAGAAGAUUGAAAAUACUGAUAAAAUUAAAAGCUAAAUUAAAUCAAUUAAUACUUAAAUUUAUUUAAUUUAUUUGUCAUAUAAUUUAUUGCUUAAUUUUUUUAAUAGAUCUAAUAAUUUUUUGAAAAAAAUUAAUUAAAAAAAUAAUUUUUCAAAUACUUUUUAAAAUAAUUUUUUUCAAAUAAUUUUUAAAAUAAUUUUAAAAAUUAUGUUUUUGUAUUUUAUAAAAGAAAGACUAUAAUAUAGUCAAAAAAAAUAAAGAAAGAUAUCUUUGCAUUUUAAAAAUUCUAACAUGUAAAAAUUUUUAUUCUGCAUCAGAUAUAGUUAUACUUUAUAUACAAAUAGAGUUUACAAGUAUGUUAAUUGAUGAGUAUAGUAAACUAUACAUAGCAAAUAUUCAUAAUUAGUUGAUUAAAUCUUUUAAAAGAACAUUAUAAGAACUUAUUGGAACAAAAAAAUUGAAAAAAGUCCAUGUCACGAUAGGAGGUCAUGCGUAUCCGUCGGCACACAAGCGUAUUAUGUGUCGACACAAAAGCGUGCCGGUGCCAUAUCAUGUCAGGCAAACAGCGGCACGCUCCUGUGCCACGGCACUUUAAACCUUGGUUAAUUCAUUUCAUUCAUGGCUUCAUAGUUACAUCUUGCUUCUUAUAUUCUCCUCUAUAUUGUACUACAAUGCAAAUUACAGAAAAUAGUAGAUUAAAGUGUAAAAAGUAAUAAAAAGGUAAAUGGGCCAUCUGGACCUAGUUCGGUGGAGUAUGGGCUCUGAUUUUGGGUUCUUUGCAUCCGAAUCUCUUUGUGGCUUAUCAGAGUGGAUCUCUCUCUCGAGUGCUUGAUCCGCUAGCUUAAAGGUUUAAAUACUUCUAAGCUCCCUGUUGCUCUAGAUCCUAUCGAAUGCCACCCUAGAUCGCUACUCCUACCUAGUCUUCGGCUCUCAAAGAAGUGAUCUCCAUAGAUGUGUCCUUCCUUUGAAAGCCCUUGCUCUGCCAUGGGAGAAGGCUAAGUCUCCUCCUUGAGUCUAGAUGCGCCUUUCCUUCAAAAGCCCUCGCUCCGCCAUAGAAGAAGGCUAAGUCUCCUCCUUGAGUCUCUUUAUUCUUCAAAACUACUUUACUGCUAUCUACUUAAUUUCCACUCUACUCAGGUUGUUACAUAAUCAUUCUUCAGAGCAUUCUUAACUUGGUGUUCCAUGUAUUUUUGACAAAGUUUCAUUGGUUAAGUCAACCUUUGAUUUUCAAAAGCAAAGAAACCAUAUAGCAUAUAGAAGCCAUCAUAGCACAGGUCGGUUCGUCAUUUCCUACUCUGUCAGCUAUUUAUUUGAAAUUUAAGAAAAUAAAUAUGAUACAAAUACUCAAUAGCAAUAUUACAGAUAAAUCGUAAAAAAUAAAAAGUAACAAGAAACAAGAGAAUCGAAAGAUAUAAAACAAGAGAGUCCAUUCAAGUACCUUGAGAAUAGCUGAAGACGAAUUACGAAGGCCGCAAGAUUGUCUCCCACUAUCAAGAUAAUAAGCAAUAUUUAGAAAAAUCAUAACAAAGAACUGCCCACAAAGAUACAGUAACUAAAGAUAGUUGCACAUCCUAUGAUUACUGCAAAAUAAACCAAGAACUGCCUUUAAUAUUACAUAAACCUCACUUCAGAAGCUAUUUGGGGGUGUGCAGGCCUAGUAAAGUACUAAACUACUAUCAAAAGACUAAUAUCAAUAUCAAGAGUUUUUGAGUGCUUUUCUUAAAGCAUACUUCUCAUUAGUCAAUCAUCAUCACAUUUGGCAAUAAUUUUCUGAAAACACUCAAAGAUAUCAUUUUAGGAUAUUAUAUGUUCCUCCAAGUUGAAGAUACUGGUCAAAUAGAUCCUUUGAUAUCAAUAUCUCUUGAUAUUUAUUCAAUUAAAGAGAAACAAAAAGAAAACCAACUUUGAGAUAGAAAUGCAUAUAGAUGCCUGAACGGCUAAACUAUUGGUCGUUUUAUAACGACCCAGCCCACUAGCAACAAUAACUCGUUGGGCCCAACCACCAACCCAAAAUGCUUAAGCCCAGUUAUUAUUACUAGUGUCUAAGUCUCAUAUAUACCCAACACAUCCCCAUUCCUAUCCAAUGUGGGAUUAUUGGGGUGUGACAGACUCCCCCCGUUAAGGCCCUGACGUCCUCGUCAGUCCAGUCACACACACAGCCCAAGAUCACCGGGCGAUGUGAGACUCGUCUUGCUAGCCUUGUCAUCCAGACCCUGGCAUAGCCGAUCACCUUGUCAUAUAGACUCCGGCAUAGCCUAUCACCUUGUCUUUCAGACCCUGACUCAGCCGAGACUCGCCACAUAUUUUCAGCUGGUAAUUGGCUCUGAUACCAAAUAUAACGACCCAGCCCACUAGCAACAAUAAUUUGUUGGGCCCAACCACCAGCCCAAAAUGCUUAAACUCAGUUAUUAUUACUAGUCUAAGUCUCAUAUAUACCCAAUCACAUCCCCAUUCCUAUCCAAUAUGGGAUUAUUGGGGUAUGACACGUUUCCAAACAGAUAGCUGAAUGAUAAGGGACUGUAGAUGCAUGGACAUCUUUUUUAGCAUACCAAUUUUAUUUACUGUCAAGGAACAAGUAGUAAUUGGCUUCAUAGGAGCACGAAAGUAUGUCUACAAUGCAUAAUUAUGCUGCCUCUCCUGUAAGUCUCUUUUAUCGAAGUAAGAUAAAUCACUUCAUAGGUGGAAUACAUAGAAAAUCAUGAUCAUAAGGACCUUGAAAUGGACUACAAUCAAACUACUAGGUAGCAAUCACAAAAGAAAAUUCCCAUGCAAUAAGCCAUCAUUAAUUCCAACAUCCAAACAGUCCCUAAAAGGUCCGAAUUCUGUACCUAACUGAUUUUAAUUUCUCACCCCUAUCCAAACAUCUCGAAAAAUCAUCACUUAAACCCCGCGCCAUCCAUCUACCUGUGCACCGUAUUGACACCAUUAUGCCCUUAAUUUAUCUAAUGCUUAUCUCCACCAUAUGUGGAUUGUAGCCUUUUCUCUAUUUUAAUUUGGAUGAUUAGAUUUGAUGUAUGAGAUGAAAUGGAGAGUGGAUUGCAGAAUGGUGCACGAAUGAACCAAUGCACCAAGUGGAGGCAAUAAUUUCUCGACAUAUUGGGGAUAGAAUCAAGGUACGGAAAUAAAUAUUCCAGAAAGGUUAGGCACUAGAUCAUAGUUACAGUGGCUUAUACGAAGGUGAAAAAUGAAAAACUAAGGAAAAAUUAUCUGAUAUACUGCCCCAUAGUUUGCUCAUACUGCUAUUGAGGAGAUAACCUUGAAACUUCAGCAAAUAUAAAUGGUACAACGAGAUCUCCAUGAAGUGCUAAUAUCCAGCGAAUUGGUCGACUAAACACGACCUGCAGAUGGAUUACAGUUUAGUUACUUUAGUAACACGAAAACUAAGCUGGAUCAGCAAAAGAAAGAACAUAUAUGGUAGUUACGGAUUAGACAACAGGAAAUUUAUAAGUUCCUUUGGAAAUGAAUUUGAUUCUAACAAAAUUUUCUAGGCUACAUAACAUUAGCAGUGAUAAAAUCAUCUUAAAGAUAGAGACACCUAAAUCUAAAGACACUUCUAAAUCAAAAGGCAAAGGGCAAAAUUAGAUACCUCUAUGGCCUUGUUUCACUUCUAUAGCCAGUGAAUCAGACAAGCUUUUUUUUUUUUUUUUACUUCCCAGAGGUUGCUAAUAAUUAAGGUUUGCCAUUGACUAGAAGUUAAACAAAUGGUAAUCAUUCGACUUAUUUAACUAUUGUAAAUAGGGAAGACCAACAAGAUCAAGCAAUUAGACCCUUAUCUAAGUGUUUUAGUGAGCUGAGUGAUUACCACGUGCUCAAUUUUAACAGCAUUUACAGUAAACUGUAGCAGAAAACACAAACAGCAGUAUCAGGGCACUCCGAACUUGUAGGGGUAAGAAGAUUCAGAAUAUACCAUUUCAGUUGGCAAGUACAAUAAGUUUGCUCAAGAGAUAAUUGAUACAUCCCGCAAGAGCAUUGUUGUGUAAGUGCACAAGAAAGAUGGAAAAGCAAGGGAAACUUGUAAUUGGCAACAGGUUGAAAAUUGUGAUCUACGUUGGAAGCUGGAACCACUAAUUUUAGCAGGCUAAGAGUUAAACGUUUGGUCGCCUUUCUUAACAUGCCUGUUCCAUGGGGCGUUAAUUAGUUCGCUUUGGUCCACUUUUUAGGCAAAUCUCAAACCGAAUCAAAUUUUUCAGUUUGAAAAAUUUUCCAACCGAACAGAAUUUAUACUCAGAACCGAUUCAAAUCAAACCGAAUUAAUUCGGUUUGGUUAGGUUUGGUUCAAUUUUGCAAUUAAAUUUUAUAUUUUUUAUUUUUCUUAUGAAUAAUUUUAUAAUUUAAGAUUUAAAAUUGAAUCAUUAUGAAAUCACACACAAAAGAAUUAAUUAUAAAGAUAGAAUUUUGAAAAACAUGUUGAUGUAUGAUAAUGAUUUGAUCAUAAAUGUAAAAUUUUAAUAUGUAAUUUAGAUAAAAAGUGUAAAAAAAAGAAAAAUAUUACUAUUCGGUUUUCGGUUUGGUUCGGUUCAGUUAAGAAAUGUGUUCAAACCAAACCAAAACCGAAAACCGAAUUUAACUAAAUUUGAAAAUAGUAACAAACCGAAAACUAUAUAAACCGAACCAAAUAGUCUUAUUUGGUUUGGUUCGAUCUGGUUUAUGGAUUGGGACCAAACCCUGUACACCCUACCUAUUCCUCAUGGACCAUUUCUUGGUUUGAUGGAAAUAUUUUGGGUUCUGGAUCAAAACAGUUGCAGGUCUAUAACUUGAGAACUUGUACAAGCUACAAGAAGAAAUGCCAAACGAAAAACAAGCAGCUGCAAGAAGAGAACUUGUACUGAACACAUAAAUUCACAUAUAAGAACUUCAAUCUAGCCACUUUAACUUUUGUGGAAUGUCCAGCAUAACAAUGAUACUCUGACAGGAAUUAAACAACGAAAAAUAUAAAAUAAUUAAGAAUGAAAAAAAAGAUUAAGAAGCCAGUUGUUACAUUGGAGUUCCAGCGCAUUGACUUGGGAAAUGUGAUAUUACUUAUUAUGCUCGGCAGAUCUUCAGCUAACACCUGCAAAAAUUAACAAAUUUAAUCCAGGCAACUGUCAUCAUGGUUGAACAAAAAUCAAAAUCUAGGUGAAAACAAACCUUCAAUGCAUAUGCAUAAUACUACAAUCUACAAAAAAUAAAACCAAAUACUAACAUGCUAAGAACCACUAUGCACUAUGCAGUUGAGUAGUCUGAAUAAGAAAUUAACACGCCGUGGAAGUAAAAGAGUUAGGGUUUUCAAGGUGCUAAGGAUAAGGCAAUAAACAAUUAAUAUAAUUUCGAAGUGGAAGGAUUGAAAUUUAUUUUGCUAAAAAAGCUGCGAAAAUAGGACCUAGAAACCCUCUCCAUGUUCAAGCGGAUUUGGAAAUAGAAAAGAUUAACACUUACAAGGAGUUAGUAAAAGAACAAGAAACACUACACUUGACAAAUAAAAUAGAAGUUUGUACUAGGAGCAUCAUAAGGACAAGUGGCACUACUUUUAUUUACCAAGUUUCAGUCCUUGACUCUGUUGGGAUCAAAAAAGAAUUUAAAAUUUAAAUUGAAAUAUAGAAGGAAGGAAAUACAGAGAGGAAAAUUUCAAAAAAAAAGGGGAAAGAAUCCAAUAAUUUGUAUAGAUGAUCAAGUUACCUUUUUUAAAAAAUUUUGAAUAAUUUCCAAAAAGAAGGGAAGUUGUUGGAGCCUUUUUAUAAGUUAGAUUCUUGUAAAAAGGAGAAGGUUAGAAAAAACAAAAAAAGAGAAUCUGAAAGAGAAGAAGAAAAAAAAAAAAAAGAAGAAAGAAAAAGAACUCAAAAAAAAAGGGAAAAAGAAGUUUUUUGUAUAUAUACUCUUUCUCUCUCUUUCUGGUGNCUUUCUUCUCCUGCGCACUAGCAGAGGUGCCAUGCACACCUCCCUCUCCUCAGCCCGUACAAUUAAAAAAAAAAAGAAAAGAAAAAGAAAGGAGCUUUGGCUCUUUCAUCUGACGACAGCAAUGACGACGAUCGCGGCGACUUCCACGGCAACAAAGGGUAAUGCAUGCAUACAAACAGUGUAAGUGUGAUUUGUUUUGUCAGUUUGAUCAACACGACCAUCUUCGCGAUAGGCUCGAAUCAAUCAAAUUCGACAUUAAAUCGCCACUUUUAUCGUGCGUAUAUAUCACUAAUCCAUAUUCCGAGCGGCCAUCUUCGUGGUAGGUUCGACACGGUUAAAAUCGGCGUUUCAUAUGGACGCCCUUUUCAUUGGGUUGAUCGAGCGGCCAUCUUUGCGAUAGGCUCGACACGAUCGAACCAUAUGCAUCACUAAUCCCUAUACCGAGCGGCCAUCUUCGCGAUAGGCUCGACACGGUCAAAGGGUUGAUCGAGCGGCGAUCUUUGUGAUAGGCUCAACACGAUCAAACCCACAUAUUUGGACAAAAAAUAAUAAUAAAGAAAAAUGAUGAACAUAUUUUGACUUGCCAUCUUCCUGAUACACAUUGUUCAAAUUAUUCGCCAUCUUCGUGAUAGGCACGAUUCGACUUGAUCAACUCGCCAUCUUUGUGAUAGACACAUAUUUGAUCAAAUUGCCAUUUUCGAACCUUGUGUUUGAGACAGGUUGUCUUAGCAACACCCUAUGAGUGCAAAAAAAAUUUGAUGAUUCAUGAAUUUGGGAUUGAUUUUUAAAAUCGGACCAAAUUAAUUUGGUUCGAAUCAAACCCGACAAAAAAAAAGAAGAAAGGGAAUGGUUUGGAGUUAUUUAAUUGAAAAGAGUGGGAUCUAUAAUUUAUUUAUGGACCCAAUGAAGAAAUCUCAUAUGCAGUUCACAAAAAAAAAAAAAAAAAAAAAAGCCAAAUCCAUUCCAGCCCAUAUGAUAGUGCAGGCCUAGUUUACAUACAGGCCCUGAAUCCAACCCAUAUAUAAUGUAGGCCCAAGUCUGCUCACGGGCCCUGAAUCCAGCCCGUAUGCAGAUGCAGCCCAAUUUACAUACGGGUCCUAAAUCCAGCCCGCAUAUAAUGCAGGCUCAGUCUACUCACAGGCCCUGAAUCCUACCCAUAUGCAGAUGUAGCCCAGUCUACUCGUGGACCCUGAAUCCAGCCCGUAUACAAUGCAGGCCCAGUCUACUCAUGGGCCCUGAAUCCAACCCGUACACAAUGCAGCCCAGUCCAUUGACGAACCCUGAAUCCAGCGCGUGUAGUAUGAAAGCCCAAUCCACAUAUAGGCUUCAAAUUCAGUGCACAUACAAAAUAAAACCCACAAAACACAAAAUCCACAAAUAAAACCCAAGACCCAAAGUCCACAAAUAAAACCGAUGAAGCCCAAAGUCCACAAACAAAACCCACAAAACCCAGAGUCUACAAAUAAAAUCCAAAACCCAAAGUCCACAAAUAAAACUCACAAAACCCAAAGUCCACAAAUAAAACCCAAGGCCCAAAGUCCGCAAAUAAAACCCAAAACCCAAUCUAUUUCAUAAAUAAAACCGCCAAAGUCUAAGAGCAUAAAGCUCAAAACUACCAAACCUAUAUUAUCCAAAUGCCUCCAAACCAAACCAAAUUUAGCCAAAUAAUUUCAUGGGCCUUUCAUGAACCAAUUUCAUAAAGUAAAAUGGGCUUCUCAUGAACCACUCGUUGGAGAAAAGCCUGCGGCGGAGCCGGUUCGUUCAUGGCGGCAGACAGACUCCUUGUGAACUUCAACUCUAAGUCCAAAGCCAAUAAAAAUAGGAAAUAAUAAAAUAGAGAAGGUCAUGCAUUCAAUGUUGCCUCUUGCCCGUCUUCACCCCAACAGCCCCCCUCCACCACAACAACCAAAGGGAAAAUCCUGGCUCUUCCAUGCCAGCUACAUAUUUUCUCUCGUUAUUAACGUAAUUGCCUUCCAUUCUCAAUAUACAAAAAUGAGAAACCAAAUAUUAGGAAAAUUGAAUACUUCCUUAAAUUGACCAUUCUAGAAGUUCUUGCUAUCUUAGUGAGUUUCCUUAUUCUUGGCCACCUAAAUUCCUUCUUUACAUUCAAAUAAGCUAUAGAUAUUAUUGACAAGACAUAGAGUGCAUUUACUUUAGCAGAAAAUUAACCAACAUUAGUCCAUAAAUCAACAAAACAUUCUCUAAAAUAUCCAACUAUAACAGUAAAAAGACGAUAUACGAACCUCUAUAGCAGACCGUGCAGACUCUUUCACACGAACAAAGACAUAUUCUGUUUUACCUGAAAUGAUUAAAUAAGAAACAGGUAAGUUAGUGUAUGAAUCUACUAUUUACAAAAUGAUUCCGCAAAGAAUCAAACAUUUUAGAAACACAUGUUCGUGCAAAAGAAUCAUUAAAUAAGCAAACUCAUCAAAGCAGUACAAUGCCAGAGAUACAAAUUCUGACAGUAUAGAUGUAAGUGACAGCAAUUGACUCAAAUAAGUUGACAAAGAGCAAAGGCCUAGGGUCAAAACUUAAAACACCAAGUAAAAAUCAAUUGUAGAAUGUAUCUUGUUAAAUAACUGGGUAGUAGUAAUACAUCAUUUCAACUAGCAAAUAUUCAUUCGACAAUCUGCUGAGAUGAACAGAAAUUUUCAAAAUACUGUCAGCAGCAGUAGCAGAUGGUAUGAUGAACAUGCAACAAUCAAAUAACAGUCCCAUAUCAACACAAUUUAACUUUUAUGUAGACCAAAAGUUUCAUAUACUACUAGUAGCAGAGAUCCACCUAUAGUCAGUAGAAAAGGUUAAAAGUAAGAAAAUCUUUGUAAUACAUACUAUUAGAUUUAGUGAAUAAGAUAUUGCGACAAAUUAAUGUUAGUUGGUUAUAACAUUCAUGUUCCCACAAGGCAAGAAAGUUUAGUGCCUAAUAUUUACUGAAGUGGACACUUCAUAUGAAAGUUUUACUAAUAUAGGCAUGCUAUCACACUUUUGCAAUUUGUCAUUAUUUAUUCUUCUUCUAGUUUAGAGAAAUGGGUAGAACAUCAGCAAAAUAAAAGGAUAUUAUUCUUAUCUAGACGUAGAACACAAAUGGUAUUGGAUAAGGGAUGCAAGUGCAUAUCAUACUACCUACAAUUGUACUGUAGACAUACCACAAUAGCAAGAAAUAAUAUUACCAUAGCAGUAAAAUGCACAGGGAGAGAACAACCAAUUACAAAAAAGAAGCCAAAUAUCAUGGUAAAAGGAAAGGUUUCUGUUAGAACUUAAACCGAAAAGAUCUAGUUCGUCGGGUGCGAAAAUACCGAAAGAGAAUCGAGAACGAGAGAAGAAAAAUAAAGCACACAAUAUUUACGUGGUUCGGCCAUCGGCCUACAUCCACGGGCAAAGACGGAGUGAAGAUCUUCAUUAUAAUCAAAGUGGUGUACAAAAUAUGCCUCUCUCACAAAACCCUAAUCCCAAAAAUACACCCAUAUUCUCUCUCUCAUCUUCCGCACUAAACCAAUGGAAUAAAGGAUAUAUUUAUAAUAGUGGCUAAAUCCUAAUACAACUAGGAAUACAAACCCACUAAGAUUAGGAAUAUCUCAAUAAAAUUAGGCAUAAUCUAAACUUAACUUAAUGGAAUAAUCAAAACAGAAUAGGGUUAGAAAACCUUGCGGUACUAGAAUUCGAGACAUAAUUAACAGUUUCAUUGAUAUGAAAUUUGUAGAUGCGCUUGUGUUAUAUUUAUAUCACCAUAACAAUGAUUGAUGCUUCCAACAUAAGAAUGUUUUUUUGCAUUAAACAAUGAGGACACUGAAAUACAUAUAGGAGAAAAGGACUUAUUCUCCCACACUCUAAAGAGGCUAGCAUUAGCAACUCUGGUUGGAUUCCAAAGAUCACUAGUUCCUCGCAGAAUAUCUUGAACGAGGUUGAAGAAGGAAAACUAUUCCAUACAACUCCACCUCAGUGUCGUAGUUCUAGAUGGGAGCAGUUACAGAACUAUAAAAAACUACUUAACAUACAAGGCAUAUCUCGGUUACAAUUUCACAAGUUCCUAAGAAGUGAAAGGCAUAUGUUGCAUAUAUGAAAGACAAUAUUAUUUUCUGAUAGGUGACUCGUUCCAAAUUGGUCCAAUAAAGUCAACUAUCAAAGAGAAAUUAUAAUACUAAAUCAAAGACAAAUCUGACAGACGAUUGUCACGAUUCUAACAAAUUUCAAAUGUCUACUAGUUUCAAGCUUCUGCUCGAUCUUAAGUUUUCUGGUUAACAGGGCUGUUUUGAUUUUCUUCAAAAAUGGACUUCUCUUGAAUCCCUAUUAUAGGUCAAACAUUAGCAAGAUUUAUGACCUGCGCAAGGAUAUUGAUUCAACAUCUAUAUCCUAUAUGGUACUAUACCACCCCCAACACCUCACGAAUAUGAGUCCAUAAUUUCAUCCUUGGCUUAUUCAAUGGUUAAAUGAUCCUAUAGCAUAUUAGCCUAUCAGGUCUUCAUUUAAUUACCGAACAGCUUUACAAGUUAGACUCAUAAUAAAGGUAAGCAGAAGAGAAGCAUCUAAAAAGGGCAUGAAAGAAGUAUUUCAAUUUUCAUUUCACACAAUUGUUCAGCACAUACUCUGUGGCAGUACUCCCAAUAAUUUAAAAAGAAGCGAAAAUAAAGUAUGAAAGAUACAACAACAGAGAAAUAAAAUAGCAAAAAGACAAACAACGAACAGAAUAAGUUAACACCAAGCAUGCUGCUACUAACCUUCUAUUUUCUUAUAUAGCUGGUCCACAGAUACACUAUUCUUACGGCAAAAACCCUCAGCAGCCUGAUGCAAAGAGAUAACUAUUUAAGUGCAUAUACAGGUACCAUUGAAUAUGAGUACCGACAGCAAGCAUUCAGUUGACUUACCAUAUGAUUUUCAUUUUAAUUUUCUAAAAAAAAAAUUAAUCAUAGUACAAAUUAGAAAACAAUCAGAAAGUGAUUGAUGCUACUAUACUAUCAUCAAAACAUUUUUAAUAAGAAACGUUGUGCAAUAUAAACGUUGUGCAUACUAUAUUUGAGUUAAUAACAGAUUUAAGAAUAAAGAAUCAAAGGGAAAGAGAAAGUUAACAGAAAAAAGACAAAAAAAGAAAACCAUUACCUGGAAAUUAAUAAUCAAAUUACUGUUGACCAGUUAAAACAUAAGAUUCAGGCAACUAAAUAAGGUAUGGCUAAAUCACUUUACAACACUUGCUUUGGCAAGAACAGGAAAAAAGAAAUAUGGCAGUGGAAACAACUAAAUAAGUAAGAAACUAGGACCUUAGUAGGCUUUCCUUCUUGAUCAAAUGCCUUUGCUACUGGGGGGCCACGUAGUUCAGUCUCCUCCUCUUCUUGAUUGAUACUAAGAUUUUCAACACAAAUCUGCAAAUGGACAAGUUAUCGAUUUGACGUGUUAUGCUUAACAGGGCAUUCAUACUAAUAUAGGAGACAAAGAUUCAUAUCGCAAGCCCAGAUUCUAGAAGAAAAUCAAAUAAGGCCACGGGUCUAGUGUCAAAAUCACUUUUUUAAGAAAAGCGAUGGAGUAUCAUGUAAGUUUUUUCACUUUAUUGAUAUGUCAGUCUGCUCACCUUCCGAAAAGAUGACUCGGACUGCUCAGCAGCUCAUACAUUUCAGGGGGUUUUGCAUACAAAAUUAACUUCAUAGCAUUCUUUUAAGUGAAGGCAGCAUUUUCAGUAGGGAUGUCAAUGGGUACGGAUACCCGAAAAUUUAUCCGAACCCGAACCCGAACGGAGCGAAUUUAUCCGAUGCUAAAUGGAUAUGGUUUUGGAUAUGGUUAUCAAAAACAAAAACCCGACGGAUAUGGAUACAGAUAUGGAUUUUGACUGUACCCGACCCGAACCCAAACCCGACCCGAACCCGAAUUUAUUUUACAUUAUAUAUAAUAUGUAUAUGAAAAUUUGAUAUUAUUUGUAUUUAAAAUUUUAAAUUUAAUAUAAUAUAUUUUGAAAUAUUGAAAAGAGAAAUAAUUGUUUCGGGUUCGGUUUUUCGGGUUCGGGUUCGGGUUUUGCGUUUUUGGUCGGGUUCGGGUUUGAAUAUGGAUUUUUCAAAUCCGUCGAGGCCGGGUUCCGGUUUGGGUUCAGGUUCGGGUUCUGGUUUGGGUUUCGGGUUUGGAGUCGGGUUUGGGUUCGGGUUUUAAUCUGCCCCGAAUCCAAAACAUUGACAUCCUUAAUUUUCAAUAAUCCUUGUGGCAUGGCAGUGUUGCUUAUUGUUGCCCCAAGCAUGUACCGCACAACAAAUUUGUAUACUAGCCGCACAGUGCCACCUUCUUUUAGGUUUUCUAUGGAAAAAAAACCACAUACCCUUAUUUGUUACCACUUAACUUUUUCUUUUUUGAACUCAAAUUCAACGCGAUUGGAUAUGACAACUAUCGUCAGCACUUAAAACAUAAAAAUUCAUUCUAAAUUUCCAUACUAAACUAUUGGCAUAUCAACUGAGGAUACUAAUAUCAGCAACACAAACUUCGAGGAAUCACAAAAUGAAACAUAAUGAUGCAAAUUUAGAUUAGCUGAUCGAAGAAAGUCUUCUAGACAGAAAUAACAACAGCAUGCUCAAAUAUUAAUAUCAACAGCCUAACAAAUGUACAACAACAUGAGCUUUGCAUAACUUCAAGGAAAACAUUUCUAUAGCAAAGUCUAAUAUGAAGGUUGAUACUUAUAGGUAUAAGAAGUAGAUACCACUAUUCUGCGCGGCGUACCAUAAGUCAACACUUUCCCACGACUCAAUCUUCGUUUCUCUAAUGUUUGCUCUACUAAUGCUUUGAGCUGCAACAGAUACAAAGCAUUUCUUAAUAGUGAAGCAAACAAAAAAUUUCCAAUUUCCCGAAAAAGGCAUUUCGGAAAUUGAUAAUAAGUAUCUUUAUCGGAACAACACAUACAAGUUUUCUGAGUGUUAAAAAAAAAAUGUCCCUGAGGAUAGCAGAGAAGAGACAAGAUGACAAGUUCUCAUGCAAUGCGCAUUAUCAUAGAGAGGAACAAGAAAAUGGUGAGAAACUAGGUAUCGUAUCAUGCCAAUGCGAAACAAACUUACUUGCCCGCUUGCUUCUACUACAUCCUGAGGUGGCAGCUCUUCCGUCCCAAUUUCAAGAACAAAUAAUCGAGGUUGCUCCAUUUCCUGUUAAAUCCAUUAAAGAAUGGUGAAUGUAAGCAGAUAUCAAAGAGAUCAAGAGAAUGACACCAUCUGCAAGGUAUAUAUGCACCAAAUCUAAUAAUUUUAUCCAAACUUUCCCUCUAAUAUAUUCUUUAUGGUAUGUACUGCUAUAACUGGAAUGAAGUUGAAAGAUCUAGAGAUUGUAGUAAUUUUUAGUGAAUUUCUCUAAUUCCAUGGUCUUCCCUGCACUUUGCCACUACUUUCAAUUUUAAGAGCUUGCAUAGAAAUCAUCCUACAAUAUAUAAUGAGCUGUAAUUUCAAAUGCAUAUCUACAACUGCAAACAUAUCACCCAAGUAAAUGAAUCCUCAUUAAUGCCAUUGCAUCAUUAUCUACCUAUUAGUUGCAAAGGAAAUGAAAAAGAAAAAUGUAAAACAGCUUGGAAGUGCAAAUUCCUCUCAUUUUGUAGUUGCUAAAUCACUCUUGAUGGCUGCUCUUUUCUGCAUAAAAUUCAAUAAUCUCUUCAGAAAGUUAUUUCAAAAAGGCUAAAUUGUAGUAUUGAAAUCAGGCAUUCAGAAGCUAUAUCUUUUUUCGUAUGCUAAAUAUGAUGUAUUGCAAUUUUUUUGCGUUUUCUUUUUCUUUUCUCACUAAGGAUAUUAGGAUGUAAAAACAAAUCCAACUUUAGAACACUCAGACGGAAAAAUAGCUUAUAGUCAAGGUAAACAUUUGCAUAGCGGAAAGUUUCUCAUUUCCAAAACAUAACAACUUCUCUAGGAAAAACAAAUACAACUUCUUGGGUAAGAAAGGAACAUGGAAAAAACUAAUCAAUCUAAUCAGUGAUUUUUACCAAAUUAUGAUGUAUCUUGCUGCAUAGAGAACUUAUGCAAUGGUAACUGAUAACUAACAUCUUGGCUAAGACCACUAUCUUGAGAAAUACUAGACUAUACUAAGUACUGACCAAUGCUUGCACAGUAGGUGCCAAGCUUUAUGGACAUGGAGCCCAAUGGACUGCACAUUAUUGGACGAACGGGAAAUAUUUAGUUAACAUUAUUCCUAAGGUUGUUUAAACUUAUACUAAGUGCCCAUUGGCAUGGGUCGUGCCCACCGUACCAUACCAUACCGACAAGAUAUCAGCAUGAUACGACCCCCCUGUUGAUGCAUGACUCGACAUCAUCUUUUCUUUGAAAUUAAGUUAUUUCAGUAAAGUGCAAAAAAAAUGAUUAACAUACAUAAUAAGCAAUUAAAAUAUAUUGGGACCAUAGAAAAUAAAUGUUUCAUAUCAUAAUACGUUGGCACAGGCAUAUUUGUGACUGGCACACACCUUCUUGGCACGACCUCCAUACCAUGACACUUAAAUCCUUACUUCCACGUCAAUUAGCAAUAAUGUGUAGCUUUAUAUACACUACAUAAAUUAUAAUAACAUUGCGACUCUGGUAGCCAAACAUGUUGUAUGCAUUCUCCAUCUUUUAAAGCAUGCAAAGGAGCAAAUCGCUCUUUUAGGCAAGAAAAACUUUCGCUAUAAGUCAUAACUUCAAUGAAGCAAGAUUAAAUUAUAUCUAUUUAAAGCUUCUAACAAACAAACCUUUUUCAAAUCAAAUUCAACAAUGCUAGGAUGGAUGAGACUAUUUGCAUCAUACGAAAUGCCUAAAGGAUGACCAAGACUCUCACGUGUCUUUACCCAUAACUGAGCACAUUGGCGAGCAAGGCUGCACAAUAAAAUGAUACAGUUAUGAAGAUAUGGAAUAUAUUUGUCAUUACUUCAUAUAAAGAAUUGCAACACCACAAGAAUCACUUCAUAUGGAAAUAUUAUUAAUUAUUCUAGUUCUAAAAUUCUUAAGUUGCAUAUUCAAACAAUAGUGCGUUUAUCAUAUUUGUAGCCACAUGGAGCCCACAAAAAUCAAAAAGUGAAUGACUCAAAAAUGAAUAAUAACAUGUACACUAGCAUAAGCCUUACAAGUUUUAGCUACCCUUGUUAUAAGGAGUAGACAUAUUUUCAAGCACACAUGCAUAAGCAUAAGCACAAUACUACAACAAUAGGGGCAAUAGUGUCAUCAUGUUCACAUACCCAGUAUGAUUAGUAUCCGAUGGCAUUGACUGUUAUUUUCAGAUUAGUUGGUCAUAAAAUCCUCAACAUAUUAAUAGCACAAAACCACAAUAGUAGGGCAAUUGAAAUUGGUUUAUAACCUUAAUCUGAAAAUAGCAAGGUAAUUUUCCUGCUAUCUGUCUUACCUUGAUGCUUUAGAAGCCAUCAUAUUCAUAUACAACAUCUACUAAAAUGAAAUUGAACUCUCACAUUUAAUCGCAUCUAGAUUGAAGAAAAUUCAUAUUAGGACGUAAAUAAAUUGACUCAAAGGCAAAACAAACAUAUCAAAACAAAUAUGAUAUGCACUCAAUUGAAAUCAAGGACAGUUGAUACAUUUAUCAAUAAUUUCAUCCCCAAGAUGACAUAAUGGUUGGCUUUUAGAAUUUACAAUAGGGAAAUAGAAAAUUUCACCUGCGCAUGCGGCCAAAAUAUCUAGCACGCUCAGUGACACCAACAAAUCCUCUAGAGUCCAAAAUGUUGAAAGCAUGAGAAGCCUUUAAAAGCUGAUCAUACCUAACAAAUUGCAAAGAAAAGGUCCACUACGAUAAAGGUCAACUAUUGGACUGCUUUAGGACAAGUAAAUUGUUACAAAUAGAAAAUUCGGUUUUAUAAGUGUACGCAGGAAUGGGGAGUCCGAGUGACAGCAAUGAACAAGCUUCUUCUUCAAAAUUCUCAAAGUGCUUCUGGAUAUGCUCAACGUUGGCAUGUUCCAAAUAAUAAAAGCUCAUCUCCUUCCUGAAUCAACAGAAGGCCGAAAUAUUUGCAUGAUUGCAUGUCUAAAAACAUGACAAUCUAUCACUUACUUGAAGAAGACAAUUGUUCAUAGUAUCUAUAGCAAUUUACAUAAGUAAACUAAACCAUGUCUUCAAUGUUAAAGAUGGCUGUAAAUUUACAAAAUAACAUAAGAGCUACAAGUAAAAGCAUUCAAAAAAGUAGUGCAUUGUAUUUCAACACAGAUUGACAUCUGCAACAACAUAUAUAAUGUUGAAUUGUUGACGAAAGCCUAGAAAACAUGAAAAAACUGCACAAUCAUCAGAGAAAUUCUUCAGGAAACCUAUAACAGUUAUCUGUUUAAGAACUAAAAAAAUCAAGUGGCCAACUAAAUGACAAAUGCAACAUAAGCUACUCCCAGAAAUCACAUAUACUGUUCAUUCAACUAUUACUUUCAUUCCAUCUAACAUCACCUACACCCUCAAGUUCUCAUUGCUCCCUAUUUUCUUCCGAUGCUUUCUUUUCUUUAUGACUACAACCGAUUAACAGCCAGACAGUGGAGUGUAUGGCAAACUACCCAUAACAAUUAUCUGACUUACAAUCUACUAAAUGAAUAACCACCUACCCACCUGAACUAGAUACAAUAGUUUCAUUAUGAUUGCUCAUUUAUUUUUUAAAUGUAUUGAUGAAUGUAUGCGUCCAUUGAUUGAAAAAACAAAGAAUAAGUUGCUAACAUUGAGAUUUCACACAUUCAAUCACCAAACCUUCCAAAAUAUUAUACAAAUGCAAUAUCACCAUAACAUGCAGCACAAAAGAACUUGUGUUCAAUUGACAAAAAUAUUAACUAUAAAAGUUACUGACUUCAACAUAGUUUGUAGCAAGAAGACCAAAAUAAACAAACGAAAAAAGCAAUAAAUAGCACACAUAUCCAUCUCAACCAUGAUUGAGAAAAGCAGCAAUGCACUUUUAAAGAUAUUUGAGAAGCAACUAACUCAUUCUCCAAAAAUAGCUCCCCAUAUGUGAUUCCGUCAGCAUAUUGUAUCUUCUUGAAAUGAUCUACCCCCUGCCAACCAUGUCUAAAUGGAAGUAAGGUCAGCUCUUACUAAAAACUAACAAACCUAUGGUGAGAAAGGUCUCUGGAAUGGGUAGUUGCAUUAUAAGGAAACCAAUUUUGGAAUGCAACCAAUAUGUAUACAUUUUUGGAAUGCACCCAAUAUGUAUAAUGAAUGUCUAAUCAAUUAAAUAAAUUGAAUAAAUCAAACAAGCAACAAUCACAUUAAAGUUUAGCAGAAAAUGCAUUGAACAGAACAGCCAAUAAAACUUUUAGGGAAAACUUUAAAUACCACCCCUGUGGUUUCACAAUUUCUCACUUUAGUACCUUGUGGUUUAAAGUGUAUCAAUUUAAUGCCCUGUGGUUUCAUUUUUAUCUUUUUAUUAUCAAUUCCACUAAUUUUUUUCGUUAAAUCAGUGACAGAGUUAAAACUAAAGGGUACUAAAGUGAAUAUUCGAUAAACCUAGGUGGGGUAUCUGAAGUUUUUUGUAUAUAAUUUAACGAAAUAUUAACGAAAAAGCUGACGAAAAGAUAAAAAUGAAACCACAUGACACUAACUUAAUACACUUUAAACCACAGGGUAUUAAAGUGAGAAAGUGCGAAACCACAGGGGUGGUAUUUGAAGUUUACCCAAACUUUUAUCUACCUGAUGAGGUCAAAGUUGCUCACAAGUCACAAAUAUAUCAAAGCAGCCACAAAUGCAAGAAGAAAUAUUCAUCCCACAAACAGAUUUUUGUGUUGGUUGAAAAUUUAAGGGUAUAAAUAAAAAUUAUACAUCUAAUAAAAUGUGAAAGAGACAGGAGAGAGAACAUAGGGAUUGGGGGGAAAAAUUUACUCCAUGAUUCAUUUUCCACAAGAAUGAAUUCCAAUGUUUGAAUACAAGUGAAGUGAAUGCUCAAUAUCUUCCUCACAGAAACUUCACAGAAAUGAUAAAAACAUGCAAGGUUGUAGAGUAAGUGCUAAUAAUGUUCCAAAAUAGUUGAACAGAUUAAAUGCAUUUGAAAAAUUAAGUAGAUAUUAAUUUUAAUCUGAUUCAGAUUGAAAAUCAUCGUAUAGCUUGUCAGACAGCUGUAAAGUGCUUAAGCAAUUGUUUUCAACAUUUUUGUAAUACCUAAGUAGAAAAGUACAGUUGGCCAACUUACCUGAAGUGACAUUAGAAUCCUUUCAAGACCAUAAGUUAUUUCAACAGAAAUUGGAAGCAAUUGAAGACUUCCAGCCUGAAGAUAUGAAAAAAAAUUAAUUGUUACCACUUGACUUGCAAGCCACAUUGCACAUCAGUAAGAUCUCACACUAUGUUUCAAGCAAAGGGGGAAAAAAGAAAAAGAAAAAAAAUACUGAAAUUAGAAGUUAUAGCAAUGGAUAAAAUAUAGAUUAGCCCUAAACAUCCAAUCUUCCACUUAAACAGAUUAAUCCCACUUUGUACGUACUUUCUUUAAUGCCAGCUAUAUGAUAUGCAUACAACCUAACUAAAGAGAAAAUUUUGGACGACAAUCAGACCCCUGGAUAACAUCGCAAGAGUUAGGUGCAUUUAGCAACUGAUCUGUUUAAGUGAAAGAAUAGGGAUCAUAUUACAAUUCAUUGAAAAUUCAGAGGCUGUCAGUACAUUUUAUUCCAAAACGUGAAGUUCAUUAGGAAGAAAACUCACAUACAUGACAUCUACAUGCGGUCGUAUUUAGAUUUUAAGGCAAUGCCAAGCGCACUACAACAGAUUCUAGUCACAUGGAAGCAUUGAAAAUGUAGUGUGAUGAUAAUUUCUUUGUCUUAACCAUUUAUAACCUCAGAGAAAGAAAACUAGAAGAACAAAAAAUUGUUAACCAUGGCAGUUAUAUAACAAGAAGCAAUGAGAAUACCCUGCUUCCAUAGACAUGCUUACCUGCUGAAAAUACGUAAACUGUGUAAUUUCCAUCCCAUCCAUCCAUACCUCCCAGCCCAAUCCCCAAGCACCGAGAACCUGCCCACAUUUUGCAGUAUAAUCUGAGCAAAUAUGAACAAUUGAAAAAAUAAAUAUGGUUUCUCAUCAAGUGAAAUUUUGAAUAUGUUCAAGCUUUAGAUAAACCCAAAGAAUGAUCGACUUAAAAGGACGAAAUGAGUACAUCUUGUUAGAUAUUGUUCUCCAAAGCAUUUAUGCUAGUCAAGAAAAAAAUAGACAAGCAGAUCAAAUUGGAAAGAGCUCUUUACCGGACUUUCCCAGUUAUCCUCCACAAAACGAAUGUCGUGUUCAUUGACAUUGAUACCUGAGAUACCAAAAAAAGGCAUGUAACCUCAUAAAAGGAUUACUGACUUCAUAUCGAAAUUUAAGAAAAUUUAUAAAUUCGUUAGUUGAUCAUAAGAUCUCGCUAUUAAAAAGAUGCAGCAAAGUCCUUGUCAUUAUUCAAGUUGGCAAUUUUUGCUAAACAUAAAGCGCACUGCAGGCUGCAAGUUAACUGACAUUCUUCAACUGAAUUAAUUAUAUUGAAACAGACAUUCAAUAAAGUACAUCUUACCUCGACAUUUAAACUGAGUUAACAAAUAAGACAUCAUUUGGUCACACUUCAGGCUUUUUUUCGUUUAUUAUCAUUAUUAGGGUUCCGGGUUUAUUAUUAUUAUUGUUCUUGUUGUUGUUGUUGCUGUUGUUAUUAUUAUUGUUAUUACUACUACUAUUAACGCAAGUGUGCUGGUGGAAGAAGGAAUUAUUGCAAUCUAUACAUUCUGGGGUUUGGUUUUGGCAACAAAAAAACAAAAACUUAGUAGUCUUUCUGCUUCUUUGUUUUUAUGAAAAAAAAAAAAAAGAUGAGAAGAUAACUAACAAUAAUAAGAACGAAGAAGCCCAUAUGUCAAUAAAAUCCAAUACACAGAAUUUAUGCCUUGUUAAAGCGCGGCUGAGUUCACAACUCAACAAAAUAUAUGCCCAUAAGACUUUCUUGGACAGUACAGGAGAAUAUACAAAAAGUGUGUUGUGGGCUUAUUCUUUCUUGGGAGAAAUGGAUGAAGACAAGGGAUAAGCCUUGCCAUAAUCAAGGAGGAGAAAAAUGAAACUGUACCUAAAUCAGUAGUAGGUCAAACGGUUAUCAUACAAGCUUGUUAAGUUCAGCUCAAGAAAUCUCAAUAAUCCAUAAAAUAAAAGCCUCCCAGAAUCAUUUUUCUAAGUGCCACAUCCAAUUUGAACCAUGGACAACAAACCAAUUUUCUAGUCGUACUCGUCAAAGUUGCAAUAAUAAGGAUACUAGGGGAUGUUUGGUUCCUUGAAAAAUAUCCCAGAAAAUAGUUCUCUGGCUGAAAAAGUAUUUUCCAUCUGUUUGGUUCCCAAGAAGAGUAGUUUUCUAGGAAAAGUUUUUUGCGGAUUUCGUGGAAAAGUAAUGUUUUUUGUUUUCCGAAUUUUUUAUCCUGAAAACGAAAACUGUGAAAAGGAAGCUUUCCAUGGAAAACUUUUUUCCCAGAAAACAGUUUUCCACACAUUUCCGAGGAACCAAACACUCCGUUAAGUAGUCUGCAAAAAAAAACUGAAAAAAAACUAUAUUAUAUUCUGCAAAUCUAUGACUAUUGAAAACAACUUACAAUGAUACUUGAUCUAUAAAACAUUUAUUUCACUUGAAAUGUCUCAUUGAAUUCAACUUCAACAAAUGAAAGUGAUAGAAAUAAUAUUGAAAAGAUAAUACCUAAUGCUGAAAGGCUACCGAGGAAGAGAUCUUGUGAAUUUCCAGGAUCAGGUUUCAAGAUGACCUGCAGGUAUGGUAGGACAAAACAUAUAUAUUUAAACCAAAAAAGCUACAAAACAUUGAACUGCAGGGAAGUAACAUGCAGUUCUUGAAUAUAGAGCAUGUUAUUAAUCAAAAAAACCUGAAAUUGAGUGUGACGUUGAAGCCUAUUGGGAUUGUCUCCAUAACGGCUGUCAUCAGGUCGUAUACUUGGCUCCACAUACCUUCCAUGAAAAUUUUCAUAAUUAACUACACAUGGUACACAAAACACAAAUGUUUUAUCCAAUUCUCUUUUUACAAUUCAAUAUAAAGACCUAUAAUAAUAAGAUCAAUCAAUAUUUACCCCAUCUAAAGAACAUUACUAUUAGCAAGAGCAAUUAAACAACAGCACAACAUCUACGCAAUCCUUGAUAUUUAUCCAUGUCCCUAAUUCAUAGAUAAAAAAAGUCACUCUAAAAGCAUCAUAUUCAAACCAUAUGAACAUACACCCUCUCCACUUUCCUAGUUCGGUGGAACUGCAAGCAGAACUUUUUUUGGAAAAUUUAUCUUGCAAAUUAAAGUAGUUCAUGUAAUGUAUGUGUGACAACUUCACAACUUGGAUUAGUUAGAAUUGUUUCAUUAGACAUAGAAAUAUCAGUAACGUGUUCAAAAACUAUGAGAACACUGAAUGAUGUUUCCCUGUACAAAUGCUUGGUUUAAUUUAAUUAGAUUUUAAGCUGGGAAUCAAACAUCAAACGACAUUAGAAUUUUGAUCCAACCGGUGGCAUGGGAUUGACUAAGCAUUAAAUCAAUGAACAAAAGUGUUGGAGAAGCUAUUCAUAAGAUAAAUAAAGAUGACAUGCUUCAAGCGUCAACUCCUCCCUAUAACAUCCUUAGGUCAUCUUUGCUUUGGGGGUUUAAGGGUGGAAUAAAGGGUUUAUUCCACCCUUAUCUCCCAAACAAAAAAAAAAAUUGGUGGGUACACUAGUUCCCACCCCUUAACGGGCUAGCCCGUUAAGGGGUGGGAACUAGUGUACCCACCCCAAGGUGGGCCCAGCUUGUUCCACCCGUGGAGAGAGAGAGAGAGAGAGAGAGAGAAUUUUUAAUUUAUUAUAAAUUUAAAUUUCGUAAGUUAAAAAAUUAAAUUUUAUAAUUUUUAAAAUUACAAAAUUAAAAAUUUAAAUUUUAAAUUAUUUAAUUUUAAAUUUUAAAUUUUGAUAUUUUAAUUUUUUUAUAUUUAGAAUUUGAUAUUUUGUAUUUUUAAAUUAAAAUUUCAUCUUAAAUUUAAAGUUUAAAAUUUAAAAUUUUAAUUUUUUAAAAUUGUAAAUUUUAAAUUUUAAAUUUUAAAAGUUUAUAUUUUAUUCUAAAAUAUAAAUAUAAAAUAUAAAAAUUCAAAUUCUAAUAUAAAGAAAGGGAUAAUAUCAUUAUUUUUUAUUUAUAACUACCCACUUUAAUUCUUAUUUCAUCUUACCUAACCAAACGCUAUUUUUUUAUUCCCAGGAAUAACCCAAAUUUCAUCCAAACGCAAAAUUGAUCUACUCCCCGCUUAUUUCUCAAUUUAUACCUAUCCCUGGAAUAGCCGCUUUUUGCUUAUCCCUGAACCAAACAAUACCUUAGAAAAUCUGGAUAAAUUUAAUCGGAAUCUUCAUUCGCCCUUUUUCUUCUUAUAAAGUAAAAAGUGUUGCAAUAGUUCAGGAAGCCACAAUGUUAGCCCAGAAGCAUGGUUAGAGUGACACUAUUUAUUGAUAGAGUUUGUAAGGUGGUUACUAGUUUUCAUUAGCUUCUUGUUUUGUCUUUUCUUGUUAUUUACCAACAAUGUCUUUUUGAGCCGUCAUUGUGAAAUAGUUUUAUCUCUCCUGAAAUAACAGCCUAUUAUCACAUCAUCUUGUGUGCCACUGAUAAAUUUCUUGUUGAAACCAUCAUCUCUGAGAAUCAAAUUAACCCAAUCAUAGAGUUGAUAUCAGUCAGAUGAACUGUAGUUUACAAUAAUAGAACUUAUAUAAAGAGCGAAAUGCACGAUAAUAGUGGGGAAGGAAACACAGAAUAGUUUGUAUUGAACUGCAAUUUAAAGUCAAAAUUAUUAUACAUAUGAACACAUGAUUUUUUUCAUGUCAUACUUAUUAGCUUGAAUAAUAUUCAAUCAAUUAGAAUUGUUGAGCAUUAGGAUUUAGCCAAAUAUGAUGCAUCUUUUGGUAGAUUUCUAGUCAGUAGAUCUAUGUUUUGGCCCUCUAAGAAAGAAGAGGGAUGUAAAGAGUAAGGUGGUGUGCAUCGGAAGUUAUUCUAAUAAGAACCAUGGCAACAAAUUAUUUCUUCGUUCUUUAUUAUGGUUUAUCUGUUCAUGCAUAAUAACAAUGAUUCCAUGGCAAUCAUAAAUAUUAGAAAUCACCAUACGAAAGCAUACUUACGCAACAUUCCAAGGUUCCGGUCCUAAUACUCUCAAGAAUGUCAAGGGAUUCAUCGUCCCAGCUCCAACCUGUUGAUACAACAAAACCAACAAAAUUACCAUCGAGAAUCAAUAAUUCUAAACCAAAAGAAAUCCUCAUAUUUACAAGACUUAUUUCAGGAAGCAGCAUUAGUAAUUCAUUUUCAAAAGUAAAUAUCUCUAAAUAUGUAAAACAUUUUCAAUAUUUCCGAGCCCGAUAAAGUAACUAAAGCCUAUGCUCUUCUUUUUUCUAUGCAAACCAUGAUUAGGGCUUCUGUCUCAAAAAAGCCACAUUUGCACAUGCCCUAAGCUUAAGAGCAACAAAAAAAAUAUUAGAAGCUAACAGAGCACAAGCCAUUACCUCUGUAUUGCUACAUUGCAUUAUAGAACAACCCACAGAAGCCCAAUACUCCUGCAGUAUGGAAUUUUAAAGAGGAUAUCAAAAUAAGAAGCAUGAUAAGUCAAAAAAUAGCAACUGAAAAAAAAAAAAAAAAAAUUCAAAGAUGAUAUUGCUGCAAAAGAUACUAGCUUAUGAAGUUAAACAUGAAUGACUUAUCAAGAAUUUCACAAGAAACCACAAAAUUCACCAUAAUGAAGUCAAACUUAACAGUAUAUCAUGUAUAUGAGAUAGUUAUGCACAAUAAUUACCAACUUUUCUAGCUACUCUAACACCAUAUGUAAUGGCCCGACCAGCCCACUAGAAAAAACAACCAACCAAACUCAAACCACCAGCCCAAAAUGCUUAAGCCCAACUGACUAGUACCAGCAUAGUAGUUAUAGCGCUCAAACUCUCCCACAUUCUUCAAUGCGGGAGUAUGAGGGCCUUGUGGCCCUAUUCAGAUGUCAGAGUAAGUUAUCCAGUGAUAAUUCAUGCACUACGAGGAUUUUCUCAUGUGAUUGCAAGCUAGGAGUUUUACUUUAACCCAUUCAAAGAUCUUGGCAUCGAUGAUUUGGUAGAACAGUGUAUUUCACCUACUGGGUGGUUUCUCUCAUUCCAAAAAAAAAAAGGACUUAAAAGGCUGAAUAAGGUAUGCUCUUCUAGACAUCUGAUCAUAUAACUCAUCUACCAAAUACCCAAUACUAUAAGCUUCUUCAAUAAAUCAAAAAGACGCAUUCAAAAAAGCGACAAACACUAACUGGUCGAAUCAUUAUAAGUGGUUCCACUACCGUCUUAUACCGUUGGUAGGAAAACUCUAAAUUGCUCUCCAGAUUUCUGGACCUUCUAAAGUAUCAAAGCAGGUUCGUUUGGGCAGCGCGCAAAUCCAAACAAGGUUGUAAUGGUGUAGUUUAAUGCUGUCACAAGUAAGUGCUUUUAGGAAUACUAUGUUAAUGUUUCUUCUCCAGCUUUCGUCGGCAAUUUUGAGACUCAGAAACUCGUUUCGGAUUUUGUGGCGACAGCCAGUGAAGCUUCAUUCUGUCAGAAAAGCUGAAAUCAAAGGAAGAGGCGGAGUGGAACCUGAAGGCGCUGAAUGGCCUGCUGGAAUGUCAGAAUGGAAGAAGCCUUUCUGCCGUCUUCUGGAAGCUUCGGCUCGGGCAGAGGAGCGGAAGAGGCGACAGCAAAGGAGGAGGAGGAGGAGGUCGAGGCGUCGUUGCCGGCGGAGGCGAGCACGGAGAAGCCACGCGCAGACGGGGGCUUGGAGGGGCGAGCGGGGAUGGGUUUCGAGGGGAAGACAGGGCGGGAGUUGGUAAUGGCGGGGAGAGCGGAGGCGGAGGAGAGAAACAGAGACAUUUUCUGUGGGGUUAAGGGGGGAGUGCGGGCGGCGAGAACGGUGGGAUAAGGCAAGAGCGGGAAGGAAGAAAGGGGGGAUAGGUGGUUGGAUGCGCCCGCUUGGUCCGAUUUCUAUCCGAAGGGGUUUCUUAUUCUUCUUCUUUUUUUUUUUCUUUUUUUUUUUUUUUUUUUUGAUAGACAAAAAAAAUUAAAUUAAAUUAAAUUAAUUAAAAAUACAAAGCCAGAUACAACUAGGAUGUAAGUGGAUCGUGCCGGGCGAGCACGGCCCACAUUUUUUAGGCCAAACCGGAUAGUGCCCGCCCGCCCGGCCGGCUUCAAUUUCGAGCCAUGCCUGCCGGGCCGGCCCGAGUUCCAGCCUCCGACCCGCACGGCCCUUUGGCCUGGAAGCACGGCCGUGCCGGGCCGGACUGUGCUUUAGACUGGCCUUUUAAAAUAUUUAUUUUAAAAUUUUUUUAAAAAAAUUAUUUAAAUUUGAUUAAAUCAUUAAAAUUUAUAAAAAUAAUUAUAAUAAAGUAAAUAUUUAAUUUUAAAAAUUAAAUAAAUUUGUAUUUUUGAAAAAAAGAAUUUCAAAGGGCCCAGGGUUUCCGAGCGAGGUGGGAUUUUUGGGGAGGAGAGGCCGAGGAGGAGUAGUGGGUGCCGGGGGAGGAGGUCGGGGAGGUGAGAGGACUGUCGACAGGAUGGGGGCUGGAGCCAAGACCUUGGUGCCGGAGGAGGCAGGGGCGCGCGGGGGUCUCGCGGGCGGCGCCGGGCCGCAGGCGGGGCGCCACGGGAGGCGGCAUGAGCGCCUUUCUCCCAAGGUCUUCAAGGUCUAACCUUGGAGGAGCAGGAGGGCAAGCCCAUGCCUUGGGGGCGGGCCGUGUGGCUGUGGCACGGCCCAAGCGGCAUUGCCGUGCCGGGCCACCCACCUCUCCUCAGCCCGUCGUGCCGUGUCAGGUCACCACCUCUCCUCAGCCCGUCGUGCGCGUGUCAGGCCACCCACCUCUCCUCAGCCCGGACCGUCAGCCACAGAGGAGCGGCCCAGUACGGCCCAGAGGCUCGGGCGGGCCCGGCGGGGGUGCUACAAUACCGUGUCAUGCUGUAGCUGGCCGAGGCCAUGUCGUGUGCCACCCGGCCCGUUUUACAUUCCUAGUACAACUAGGGAUGUCAACGGCUACGGAUAUUCGAAAUUUUACCGAAUCAAAUCCGAAUGGAAUGGAUUUAUUCGAUACUAAAUGGAUAUGAUUUGGAUAUGGAUAUAAAAAAUAAAAUCCGACGGAUAUGCAUUUUGACUGUACCCAAAUCCGAAUCCGAACGCCAUCCAAAUCUGAAUGUAUUUUACAUUAUAAUAUAGUAUAUUACUAUAUAUAUAUAUAUAUAUAUAUAUAUAUAUAAAUUUGAUGUUAUUUUUAAAUUUGUAUUCUAAAAAUUUAGAUUUAAUGUAAUAUAUUUGAAAUAUUGAAAAUAAAUAAAUAAUUAUUUAGGGUUCGGAUUUUCGGAUUUGGGUUUCGAAUUUUUGGUCGGGUUCGAAUUUGGAUAUGGAUUUUUAAAAUCCAUCAGGUUCGAGUUUGGGUUCGGAUUUGGGUUUUAGGUUUCGGGUUUGGAGUCGGGUUCGGAUUCGAGUUUUUGAAAAUCCAUCCCGAAUCCGACUCGUUGACGUCCCUAGGUACAACCCUAGCAUAAGUGCAAGAUAUAUUUCUAAACCUCUCUCUAAGACUAGAAUGCGUUCACUUGCCAUAUAUUUAACCCCUCAAAAAAAUAUAUGUAAAUAGUCCUAAUAAAAUAAUAAUUACUAAAAUGACCCUUUACUUAUUCAUGCAAAUGUUACACUGAACAAGAAAGUGUUAGUUUGACAUUUUAAUUGAAUAUGACAAUCUAUUUAUCGUGACCUAUUAUUUUAAGAAUGUACGGUGAUUGGAUUGGCAUGAAAAUUUUGAAAAAAUAUGAUAAGUAGUUAUCAUGUUUAGGAUACAAAAAUAUAAUCUUCAUCAUCUUUGGAUAAUAAUUAUUGGAACUCGGUGAAUGGCUUGUCAUGUUUUAAGCAUCAACCCAUGUUGUAAAUAUUUGCAUUUUAAUAAUCUUGUCAUAACAACUAGAUACAUAUAGUUUCAAUUUCAUUACCUAAUACUUACUCCUCCAACUACAUCUCAAUAAUAUAUAAAAAUUUACACAUCAAGUCAAUAAUAUACAAAAGGAAUAUUCUCAUUUUCUAUUCAAAUAUGCAAAAGUCACUAUAAUAAAAAAAAAAAAAAAUAAUUUGUAUAUUAUUAUCAAAUUUAUGUAGAAGGGUGUGGCGUCCUCCUCCUAGUCCCUCUCUCGUUUUGAUCUUGACUAGAUUUGCACCCGCAUUGAUAACCACGUCCUUGACUAUAAUCAGCAAUGACAGGAUUAUUGUCACCAUCGAAGAGUUAGUGAGCUCAAUAACUUUCAACUAAUCAAGAUGCUCAACAGUAGUGUCCUCAUAACUGGUUGAGUGUCCUAUAUCUCAAGUGCCAUCAUGCUCAAGCAUAGCAUGUAUAAUAUUUCUGGCUAUUUAAAAAUAGAAGAUUAGAAUUGAUCUGCACACAAAAAAAAAAAACAACUGUAGGAACUAAUGAUAAACAAAAUAUGGUCGUCAAGAUGAAAAUAUGAAUGAAGAUGACUCUAACAGUAAAGAGAAGAUGCAUGAUGUGCUAAUAGCUUUUUAUUUUUAGUUGUCCAUACUUUUUUACAGGAUUAAUUUAUUAUUUAAUCAAUUUCAAAAUAUCUAGAAAAUUAGAAAUUAAUAUUAUUAUGAUGAUGGGCUAAUCACAUCAAAUAACAUAAUCCAAAUUUUUGGCUUAAACUUCUCAAGGUAACAAAGAAAAAUAAAUUUGUCCAAUCUAAAAUCUCUUAUUGAGUAAAAAUAAUUCAUAUAUUAUGGUAAUUAAGUUGUAUAUGAAUGCAAAUAAUAAUAUAAACACUACUAUGCACAAACUUCAAAACUAGUAGGCAAUUCAGCAUGCAAUUCAUUAUAAUGUUGAAAGCUUGUUAUCAAGAAAUCUAAUAAGAUUAUAAGUUAACUAUUUAUAAACUUAUGAAUUGGGAACUCGAAAUCACCUUAGAGUGUUCCCCAUAUCCCAUGGCCAGUGGAUCCUACUUUUAAUUACCAUAUUUGUAGGCUCCCUAAGAUGCAUGUGGGCCCCACAAAUUUGCUUCAUAUUCUAGUUCCCCAUAUGUAUGUAGGCCCCACAAAUUUGCUUUCUAUUAAAUCCUCGCUAUUCCCAUUAAAUACGGUUGCGUCAUUCUGGCUUUUUGGAUAUUAAUGUGGUUUGAUGUCAUUUGGCCCUCUGUUGUUCUCGUUUGCUCUACCGUUCUAUUUUCUCCCUCUCGCUUGCAGCCUCCAUCGUGGCAAGUUCGCCGUUAUCUCCAUUUUUUUAGGACAAGUGUGGCUAUCUUUACCAUGACGAGUGCGGAGUGGCCUUGUCGUUAUCUCCACCGUGGCCUAGCGAGGUAGUUGGUAUGCUUUGGCCUACCUUGGUUUCCUACGAGAGUUUUUGUUGUCUCUGGUAGCAGCCCCUAUGUGCUCCUAUAUGACAUUCCCUUCUGUAAUUCGUUGAAGUGCCGUGGAAGCCAAUGGAAGGUGUCGAUGGCUCGGAGGGUACAACGGACACUGAUAGGAUGUAUAGCCUCCACAUCUGGGUGUCUGUCAUAUUCCUUUCUUCCUUUCCUCUUAAACAGUUCGGUCUCUUGCUUAAAGAGAUGCCUGGGUUGUUAUAAAUGUUAAGGGUGCGUUUGGUUUGCGUUAUCUUUUAAAGAUUCCUAGUAAUCCAAUGGGAAUAAAAAAAUAUGACAGUGUUUGGCUAAACGCACUAAGUAAUCUAGUUGGUAAUAUUGGAUUCACUUGGGAAUAAGAUUCACCCCAAAGUACUAAUCUCAUUCUUUUGAGGGAGGGUGGGUAUCCUCAUAUUAAUGGAUUGGGAUAAGCAUAAUAUAUCUAAUCUCUUUCUUUCUUCUUACCCGCCGGCUAAUUGAUAUUAUUUUUAUUUACACUCUAACCUUAUAUCUCUCUCUAAACUUAUUUUUCUCUCCAAAAUUCAACUUUUUUUUCUCUCUCUAGACUAAGCUUUCUCUCUCUCUCUCUCUCUUUCUAAAAUUUCAACUUUCUCACUCCCUCUAGUUUCGACUAUAUUUUUCUUUCUAUUUUUUUAAUUAUGCUCUCUCUCUCUAACUUAUACUCUUUCUCCCUUUUUUCUAAAAAGAUGUUGAAACUUUUGGUAACAUUAUCUAAAAUUAAUUAAAUAAAUAAAUUAAUUAAUUGUAUAUUUUUUAUAAUAUUAAAUAACAUGACUAAUUAAUAUUACCGUGCGAACCAAAUACAGGAAUUCCACAUUCUUAGUAAUAAGAUGAAUAGAAAUAAGAUUCUCGGAUAUCUUUUAUUCCUAGUAAUCUUUCAUAAUGCGAACCAAACGCACCCUAAAGAUAAUAGAUAAGAAUAAGUCUAUUCUACAUGUUUUGAGGAAUAUCUCAACCAACUAUAUCUAUUGAUUUGUUUCUUCGGCUUUGAAUAUAAAAAACAUAAUCAUCAUUCAUGUAUAUAUAUGUAACAUAAACUAUGAAUGAAGAUAGAGAUGUGAUUUCUCUCUAAAGAGCCAUAUCAACUUUUUUAACCUAUUGAGAGUGCUUAGUAUUCUUUUCUCACACCUAGAUCUCCAUAUAUAUAUAUAUAUAUAUAUAUAUAUAUAUAUAUAUACAUAUAACUACCCUGGAAUACUAUCAAUAGCACCAAACUAUUGGUGCUAUUGAUUUUUUAGCUCUUGGAUUGAGAAAUGUGUGGUUAGAAUGAUGUGGGCCCCCUAGGGUUGAGUGAGUGGUUGGUUGAAUAGUAUAAUUUAACGGGUAAAAAUAAUCAAACGGUUAAAUCUAACGGUGGAAAACUCAAUAGUACCAAAUCCUUGGUGCUAUCGAUAGUACCCCAGCCGGACUCUUGAAUGCGUCUGGUAUGCUUCUGGAAGCACGGAGUGCUCCGUGCUUCCAAGUUGUUUUCGAUGUAGGCACUUUCGAAUCGACGAUCAGCUCCGUUAGACUUGAUCUAGAGUAUUUUAACUAUCUAGAAAAUAAAUUUUGUGAUUUUUUUAUAUUAUUUGCCUAGUGAUCAAAGUGGCUCAAAAUCAAUGGCUGAAAAUAAAAAUCUUACAAAAUAUGAUGAUAUGACAUUAAAAUUUUAGAUAAAAAAUAUUGAUCUUGUUUUAUAUAGUAUAAAGAAUUUUCUAUCAAAAUUUUACGUGAUUUGAAUAUUUCUACACUGUUAAACUUGCAAACGGCUCACCACGGCCAUUAAAAUUGUUGAUUUUGAGCCGCUUCGAUCACUAGGCAAAUGAUAUCGAAAAACCACAAAAUUUAUUUUCUAGGUACUUCAAAUACUCUAGAUCAAGUUUAAUGGAGCCGAUCGUCGAUUCGAAAGUCCCAACAUCAAAAACGACUUGGAAGCACGGAAGGCUCCGUGCUUCCAGAAGCAUACCAGCUCACUCUACACACAAUAUACACACACACACACACACACAUAUACAUACAUAUAGUAGGGCUACUGCACUAUUAGGAGCACAGCAGCCCUUGUGCUUCUAAGUUCUUAACCGCCCAUCAAAUUUGAUGGGUGGUUAGGGUGAAAGGGAGAAGAUUAAUUGGAGAGAAAUUGAGUUUCUCAAUUUAUCUUCUCUUUGAAUUUCUCUUCAAUUUCACUUCUCCCAUUCAUCCUUACCACCCAUCAAAUUUGAUGGACGGUUAAGAAUUUAGGAGCACAAGGGCUACUAUGCUCCUAAUAGUACAGUAGCCCUACUCUAUAUACAUAUAUAUAUAUAGAGAGAGAGCUAGGCUGGUAUAUUAUCGGUAGCAUGGAGGCCUCCGUGCUACCAAAUUGUUUUUAAUGAUGCGGCUUCUAAAUCGAUGAUGCGGCUUCUAAAUCGAUGGAGGACUUGAUCUACACUAUUAAAAGUAUUUGGAAAUUAAAUUUCAUAAUUUUUCGACAUCAUUUGGCUAGUGAUCAAAAGGUCUCAAAAUUGAGAAUUUUAAUGGUAGAUGUGAUGCGUUUGUGAAUUUAACGGUGUAAAACAAUCCAAAUCUAAUGAAAUUUUUAUAAAAAAUUCUUUUCACUAUUUAGAGUAAGAUCAGUGUCUCUGAUCUUAAAUUCAAGUCUUUUAUCAUUAUUUUUUAUGAGAUUUUUAUUUUUAGCCGUUUAUUUUUAAACUACUCGUUUGAUAGGUAAAUGAUGUCGAAAAAUUAUAAAAUUUAGUUUCCAAAUACUUUCAAUAGUCUAGAUCAUAUCUAACAGAACCAAUCGUCGAUUUGAAAGCUGCAUCAUUGAAAACAACUCGGUAGCACGGACGCCUCCGUGUUACCGAUAGUAUACCAGCCUGGCUCUAUAUAUAUAUAUAUACAUAUAUAUAUGCAUGUACAUAUAUAUAUGUACAUGCAUGUAUAUAUGUAUAUAUAUAUAUAUGUACAUGUACAUAUAUAUAGAGUGCAGCUACUAUACUCUUAUGAGUAUAGUAGCUGUUGUACUCAUAACUUUUUAACCAUCAGAUCUUGAUUCGUGCAGAUCUGACACCACCUAGACUCACCACUCCUUCUUACCCCUACUCCUCCCCACUCCCUCUUCCUGACGUAACCCUUCGCACGUCCAGACUAACCCCUUUUUUCUUUUUUUUUUCUUUUCCUUCCCCCUACCUGAUUGCCUUCCGAGGCAAUCGGAAGAGGAGGUAGUCUAGACCGUGUGUAUAGUUUCGGUUAUACUACCUCNCCCGCUGCGGCGGCAACCGUGCGGGCAGCAUACCGGCCGCCCCUCCCACGGCGACGAGCAUGUGGGUCAGUCCCCUCCUCGGCUGCGGCACACGUGCGGGUCCCCGGCUACGGCGAACGUGCGAGUCCCUCUUUGGUAAUGUUUUCUUUUUUGUCAAUUUUUUUUAUUUGCAUUUUUUUUUCAUAGCAAAUCUCUUUCUCAUCAUAUUUUUAUAUAUAUGGAUAUGAACAGCAAGUAAUCAUAGUAUUAGAAUAAUUAGACAUAUUAGAACAGCAAGUGAAAAUAAAUCCUGGGAUGACAAUGAAAAAAUUAGAGUAAUGUUUGAUAGAAUUAGAAUAAUUAGACAUAGUAUCCAUUAUAUAUGUGAAUCUUCUUCUUAAAAAUUUAGUUUGCUGUAAGUUCUUGAAUUUCAUUUUUAUUUAUCUAUUUGUUUCAUAGAUCUAUUACGGAUGGAUAUUACAAGUUCUAAUAAUCCUACUUGUGAUGGGAAUGGUCGCUCUCGAGUGGCUUCAUCAAGUUUCGAAGUUGACGAUGGUGUAAUUAGGAGUUCAUCUUUAAUGAUUUUAAAUACUAGUGAAGCAAGUGAUCUUACCUCUGAGAAUGAGCCAAUUGAUCAACUAAAUGAAGAAAAUUUAAAUCAACAAGUAGGUCAAAUAGAAAUAGGAAAUGAUGAGCCAUAUGUUGAUCAGGUAUUUUCUUCUAUUGAUGAAGUAAAGAGGUUCUAUAAUGUAUAUGCCUUCAAGACAGAAUUUAGCAUAAGAAAUGCGACCCACUAUAAAGCAAAGAGGCUUGAUGGUUUGGUUACAUCAAUCACAUACACAUGCUCAAAAGAAGGACAUGCAAAACCUCCAACUCAAAAGAAAGAAACAGAAAUAGUUUCUGAAACAAAUAGAACUCCUCAGAAGGAGUUCCCAAAUCAGCGAACAGGUUGUAAGGCACUUAUGAGAUUAAGAAUGAUCGAGGAUGGAAAAUGGAUAGUUAUGUGACACCCCAAUAGUCCCACAUCGGAUGAGAAUGGGGUUGUCAUUGGGUUUAUAAGAGACUUAGACACUAGUAAUAAUAACUGGGCUUAAGCAUUUUGGGCUGUUGACUGGGCCCAACGAGUUAUUAUUGCUAGUGGGCUGGGUCGUUAUAAGUUAUUACAUUUCACAAGGAUCACAACCAUGAAUUGAUUGUAAGCCCCUUCUAAAACACGUUAUUUUCGAUCACACCGCUCCAUUACCAAUGAGUAAAAGGAAGUAAUAAAUAUGUUAAGCAAACAAAAUAUUUCCACAUCUCAAAUAAUGUCUUUUAUGACGGCACGAGAGGGAGGAAUGCAAAAUAUCCAUUUUACAAGAAAGGACUUGAUUAAUACAAUCGUCGAAAAGAAUAGAAGUCUCAACGGCAUUGAUGUUGCAAGUGUUCUAAACUAUUUUCGAGAGCUUCAACUAUCGGAUCUAUCAUUUUUUUAUGCUAUAGAUGUGGACGAGGAGCACACAACACGAAAUUUAUUUUGGAUUGACGGGAGGUCGAGAAUGGCAUACCAAUACUUUUCGGAUGUGGUGACUUUUGACACAACAUAUAUGACUAACAAAUAUAGUAUGCCAUUUGCACCAUUUAUUGGAGUUAAUCAUCACAAACAAUAUACUUUUUUUGGUUGUGCCUUGCUUAGAGAUGAGACUGCUAAUACUUUUUGUUGGCUAUUUAAAACUUGGUUGAAAGCAAUGUGUGAUCGGCAUCCAGGAGCAAUUAUUACAGAUCAAGACCCUGCCAUGCAAAAAGCGAUUGAACAAAUUUUUCCGAAUACAAUUCAUAGAUGUUGUCAGUGGCACAUAAUGAGAAAAGCACGAGAGCACUUAGGAGUAUUAUAUUCUUCGAAGAUAGGUUUUAAAGAUGAGUUGCAUUCAUGCAUAAAUGAUAGCUUGACUAUUGAAGAAUUUUAAAGUGGGUGGGAAUCUAUGCUUCAAAAGUAUAAUUUGCAUGAUAAUAACUAUUUUCGUGUGCAAUGGAAGAGCCGCAGUCAAUGGACCCCUGUUUAUUUUCGAAAUACAUUUUUCGCUAAUAUGUCUACUUCUCAACGAAGCGAAGGUAUGAAUGCUUUAUUGAAAAUAUUGUUAUUAUUUAUAUAUAUAUAUAUAUAAUAUAUAUAUAUAUAAUAUAUAUAGUAAUAUAUAAUAUCCAGUACAUACAUAAAGAGCAGAAGCGCAAUAUAUUAACUCAUCUUGCGGAGGGGUGAAAAAUAUGAAAUAGCACAAUUCCAAACUAAUUGAGAGAUAAAUUAAGACUCAUAUAUUUCAUCAUCCAUAGUUUUCAAAAAUGAAACUAACAAAGUAUUGAAUUGUCAUCCAUCCGAUUACAUCUAAUCAUACAACAAACUAAGCAACAUUUUAAACGCAUCAAAGUUCCAAAAUAUGAAAAUUAAAUAGAAAAAGUUGUUGAGAGUUUUGUGUUUUCCAAACGAAGACCCAAAAUGAUAAAAUACUUGACGGCACGCCUAAUCAACGUUGGAUCAGAUUUUCAAUCCUUCAACUUAUCACCAUCAAUUACCUCUACAAUAAGAUAAGGUAUGUAUUAGACUAAUCAACGAGAAUAAUCAUAUAUGAAUGUCAAUUAAAAUCUUAUAACUAUGAUUACUGUGAAAGACAGAGGAACUUUAACUAAGUCUAUGAAAUGAAGUAUAUAAAAGAUAAUUAUGUAAAGAUGCAUAUAUAAAGACUAUCAAGUUUAUUAAAGUCUAAGAGAAAUAUUUAAAAACAAACCUUCAGUGGAGAAGGUGAGGAGAAAUAUUAUGAUGUUGCUGGAGGAGCAUUCCUUAAUUUUUAGUAGUUCCGCUCCAUUCCACCAUACAACUCCUAAGGUCUGAUUUUCCUUCUGAGAUUUACACAGAGUUUGGCAUUAAGUUCAGACUCUAGAAAAGUAAGAAGGUUUUCACAAUCAGUCGGCUUCACACACCUCCAUAGCAAACAACAUGUUGACGAAUUGAUUCCAAAGCAUUUUUCAAUGACUACUAUAUUGGAUAGUUCCAGUUUGCUGAUUUGUGAGGCUUCAAGUAAUUUCUUUUUUUUUUUUUUUUUGAGUUAUGGAUAGCUUGUUUGUUUGUUUUUUUGGUGGUCAUUUUGGUUGUAUGACUCAAACUAUUUGAGUUAUGGAUAGCUUGUUUGUUUGUUUUUUUGGUGGUCAUUUUGGUUGUAUGACUCAAACUAUGAACUUAAUUUUAAAGUAUUUAGCUUAUGGAUUAUGAUGUAUAAUGCUUUAUUUUUUAUGGAAUUUGGUCGGCAUAUAUAGCUGUUAUGAUCAUAUGUCAACCUGCUUGCAUCAAUGUGUAAAAUUGAUGAACUUUUAUUAAAUGACUUCUACAUGCUGAAAGGAAAAAUUGCAACAUUUUUUUUUACUUUUAUUGGUGAAUAAUUAAUAAAAUAAAAAAAUUUUAUGAUUUUUCAAACUGUCGGAAAUUACUAUUUGCUGGCACUUUAGAAUGUCUGAAAAAAUAUUUCUACCGGUAAUAUUAGCUGCCAUCAAAUAAUCUUUUGAUAGUAGCUAAGAUUGCCGCCAAAUAUCUAUUUGCUGGUAAUUGAAAGAGCCGCCAAUGUAUUAUUUGCUGGCAUUUAAAUUGCCAUGAUAAAUAGUAUUUUUUGGCACUUCAAACUGCCAUUAAAAGAUUGUUUUGCCGGCUCUUUUCUUUUGCCGACAGUUACUUUCGAGGCCAUUUACAAACUGCCAGCAUUGAUCUUUGCCGGCAUUUUGCACUACUUUUGCUGGCCCUUUUGGUGGCCCUUAAACAUGGUUUUUCUUGUAGUGAUUCUUCAAAAUAAAAUUUAAUAUACAAAAUUAGUUAUAUAAGAAUGCACAAAUAGAAUCAAUUAUAACAAAAGUAAGUGCAAAGACUUACAUAUUUCUUGUUUGUAUUAUCUCCUUCAAGUUGUCCACUUUUUUUCGAGUCUCAAAAAAAAUUGUCGCUAAGCUUGGUGGAUUACCAUCUUUGCCUCCCUACACAAAACAUUGGUUUAUAUCAAUUAAUGACUACAACAAAAUGCUAAAAGCUUAUUAUGUCAAUUUACAUUACCUUUUUAUAAAUAAUUUGUCGGAAUGGCUUACUACCAGUACGAUGGGGCAUUGAUAGUUUGGCUCUAUUUUCUGAGUUUCUCUUACUUGCCGCCUGCAUUUAUCAAAUAGAACACAAUUGCUAAAUUUUAAAACAAUAUUAUAAAGUGUAAAACCAAUAUUGUGAAAAAGACAACAUACUAAAAAUGGAACUAAUAGCUCUUACGAAACAAAAUAACAUACUAGAAAUUUUUCACUAAAAAAAUGCUCUUUAACCAGCCACUCCCAAUCCUCUCGGUGUACACCUUCUGGAACAAUCUUUAGGGCCUCCUGCAUAUUCUCGCACGGCUUUAUAAAUUUACGAUGCAAGUCUCCUCUCCAUUUGUUCCAUAGUUCAUUCAUAUGUUCUAAAGUUACAUCUUGAUAAGUCUCCAUAUCCUUAUUCUGAAACUUGUCCUACGAAGAAAAAUCGUUGUCCAUAAAUUUAUAUAUAAUUGAUAUAAUAUUAGAAAAUAAUAAUAAUAAAUUUAAGUAGUAAACAUAAAGAGUUAAGGUAUAAUAUUUUACCAGCACUGCUGCCCACAUGUGGUUCUUCUCUGAUUCCCCAAUUUCUUUUCAUGAAUGAAUACGUAGUGGGCAAAUAUUGCGAUCACGCACAAUCAUGCCUAAGUGUCUUGAAAAUGUCUUAUGAUUCGUUCCAGUAGCACGAUUGUUGUAGAAAGUUACUUCCAACUUCUCACCACUUUUUAACUUUGCAACUUUCUUACAUUUAUUUUUACCUCGCCCUUUUCUUUUUUUUUGAGUAGCUGCAGAAUCUAAAAAAUUAUCAAAUAGUUAUAAAAGUACUCAAGUAUACACACUACAUAAAAUAUUUUCUAACUACAGAAAAGAAUGAAAUACAAAAACUUUAUGGUUGCUUCUACAAGUCAUUUGUAUCAACUAACAAAUAAUUUUAUUCAGAUAUUAUAUAGAUCUCUCAACAAAGUUGCAACUUAUAUAUAAAAUUUACUAAAAAUAGUGCAAUGGAUAUCAACUAACAAAUAUUGCCAUUCUAUAGUUUCUUAAAAAAUAACAGAGGAAUGCGACUGUAGAAAUUGUGAAAUAUGAAAGGAAGCAUUGUAUAAUUGAACCAUAAAUAGAAAAUGACCCAAAAGAUAUAAACAAUACACCUAAAUGGCCUAAAUAUAUCUCCUCUAUUGAGUUAAUAGCAACAAUCCUAAGGAGUCACAGAUCAAGGCAUAAUCAUACUAAUAUUUAAAGCUCAUAAAAAAUCGUAAGCUAUCACAAUAAUAAAUUUUCAAACAAUAAUGCAGCAUAUUGGGUUCAAGUUUCCAAAAUUCUCACAUAUAUUAGACUCUCGGCAUAGAUUAACAACAGAUUUGAAGAAUACUAAAAAAUAUGCCUUUACAGUAAGGUUUAUCAACGACAAGCACAACUUCUGACCAUUUUACCUAAUUGAUUCUUUUAUGAUUGCAACAAGCAUCACAACAAUGUAUGUCUUUUCCACAUGGUUCCAAUAGCAAAAGGGAUCAAUGACUUAUUGCAUGGGUCCCUUUUGAAAGUUAUGUAUCUUUUUUGUCUCAUUGUUAAAUUUAUUUCACUGUACAUGUGAUAAGUAGAGUCAGUACUUUAGAUAUAUUUUAAUUUUUAUGUACUAGCUAGGGACAAAAGAUUAUUUAAGAAAUUACAUAAAAAUUAUCAUCCCAACUAUCUUCCUCAAAAGAUUAUUUAAUUUUUAUGUACUAAUUUUCUGUCCACUUCACAUUUCCCCCUUUAAGAGUCCAGUAAAGACAAAAAUAAAUUUUAUAACAAAAUAAAUAUUGAAGUAAGAAUGAAACCAACCACAAUAUAUCUCGGCAAUCUUGUGGGGGCGAGGGAGCCGGCGAAGUCGGUGAGAUCUCGUGGCGAAAGCGGCAGUGAAAAGUCAGUGAGUUUCGGGGUGACGGCGGCGUUGACGUCGUGCAGUUUUGGGGCGACGUCGGCUGCGACACUGAGCGAGAGAGCGGCGACAAGUCAGGGGUUUGAGGCAGGUGGCAAUUCCAAGCGUGAGUCCCGCGCGCGGCGUGCGAGAGGUGAGGAGGAAUGGUGGCCACAGCGAGAGCAGGAAGUCGGCGGCGAUUGAAGGUUCAUGCGAGCAGGUGGUGAUGGGAGGUUCGUGCGAUCGGGCACUCUUGGAAGAGGAAGAGCCUAGGGCUAAUUAAUUAGGGGCGGCAACAAUUGGGGUUCCGGUGUUGUAAAGGGCUUAAUUAAUUAGGGGGCGUGCGACAACAAUUGGGUUCAGGUGUUGUAGAAAAUUGACUUAAUUAAUUAGAUAAGAUUCUAUUGGUUCUUGCCUAUUAAGGCUUUUUUCAAACUAAAAUAAAUAUCAUAUAUUGUUGAAAUUUUCAUGCUCCCGCCAAAAAUAUUUUGACAAAUCCAUUUAUGAACAACGAUGAAAAAAAUAUUUCAUCGCUAAAAAUUUCUGUCGGUCUAUUAACAACGGCGAAAAAAAUAUUUCAUCGCUAAAAAUCUCAAUCGGUUUAUUAACAACGAAGAAAAAAAUAUUUCAUCGCUAAAAAUUUCAGGCCUGCUGAAAUAUCUUUUUAAUUAACGACGGAUCAAUAUACUAAUAACGACGGAAUAAAUAUUUUGUCGCUAAAUAUUGGUUACCAAAUAGCAAUAUUAAAAAUUAUUAUAAUUUGGUUGCUUUUAGCGACCACUUAUUGCGCCCGUCGUUAAAUAUUGGUCGUUAUAGACCUACUUUCUUGUAGUGUUCAUAUGUGGUAUCCAUACAUGAAGAUGACGAGAAAGUGUCUUGCAACUGUAAGAUGUUCAAUUAUACUAGUAUCUUAUGUGCUCGUGCUCUUACAGUGAUGUAUUUUGUUGGUAUCCAUCACAUUCCUCAAAGCUAUAUAAUGAAAAUAUGGACAAAAGAAGAAAAAUGUGGUAUGCCAAGCGACAAAACUGAAAAUGUAGCAAUUGUUGAUGCAUCAAGUGGUAGAGCACAAUGGCAUGAAUCACUUAGUUUAAUGUAUCGAAAAUUCAUCAAUGAAGGUACGAAAAACUUGAAGGCAUAUGAAGUGGCCAAAGAAGAUAUGGAAUUGAUCAUUAGCAAACUUGCUUCGCUUAACAAAGAACUUGAAAUUGUAGAAUCAUUGCCGAAUAACAAAGGUCUUGAACAUCAUAGCAUAAUUAUCUCACAAUCAAGUUAUAUAAAAGUUGGUUUAGAAGGUCAAGUGGCUAAUAUGGGUUUUGAAGGUCAAGUGGUUAAGGAUCCACCACAAUCUCAAUGUAAAAGUAAAAGGAGGCAUCAAAGAAUCAAGCUACAUGCGGAGAAAGCCAAAAAAUCACGGACUUGUGCAAAGUGCAAAAGGAAAGGUCAUAAUAUUAGAACUUGCAAAGAGGUAAAAUUAUAUUAUUGUUAUUGAUUUCUUAUUACAUCACUUGGUGAAAUUUUUGAUGAUUUAUUAUUAGAUGUCAUUCUAAAAUUCUAAUAGUGAAAUUUUAUUUCAGGAGCCUAUACAUGAGGCCUUGAAUGACGGCAAUUCUACCAGUAGCGAUGGAUCAGUUGACGGCGAUUCGAGUUUCUCCACAUAGAAUUGCAUGAGUGGCUAAUGUUAUUAUCAUUGAGUUUAAUGUUGUUGUUGUUGUUAAGACUAAUGUUGUUGUUGUUGAGACUGUUGUUGUUGUUGUUGAGACUGUUGUUGUUCAUGCUGUUGUUCUUCUUCAUGCUCAUGUUGAGACUGUUGUUGUUCAUGUUGUUGUUCUUCUUCAUGUUCAUGUUGAGACUGUUGUUGUUCAUGUUGUUGUUCUUAUUCAUGUUCAUGUUCAGACUGUUGUUGUUCUUCUUCAUGUUCAUGUUGAGACUGUUGUUGUUCAUGUUGUUGUUCUUCUUUAUGUUGUUGUUCUUAUUAUUCUUGUUGUUAAUGUUUUGUUAUUCAUGUAUUUACCAAUACAUGCAGAAGUGUAAGGACUACUGUCCAACUUCAUUUUGGAUAUAGGUUAAUGUUGUUUUAUUUUUUGUAGUUAAGGCAUUCUUUUUUUUUUUUGAGAGAAAGUAGUUGAGACUUUCAAAGUUGCAAUUGUAAUAUUCUUUUCUAUCUUAAUAAUUGGUACUUUUAAAGAUUCAAAACAAAAAUAAUCUCAGACAUGAGUGGCCCAAAUCUGGACACGGUGACUGCCAAUUGUUUAUUUGCCAUGUCUUAUCGAAAAUGGUUAGGAAACAGAACUGAAAAUAAAACUUCAAUAGUGUCAUUUCGAAUGAUUUGCGCAUCUAUUAGAAUAAACAUGAUGAUAAGCAUCAAUAGACAUACAUAUAGACAUAACAUCAAUAGACAUACAUGAUUGCAUUAACACCAAACAAUUAACCAUAUAGCACAUCUUUAACUUACAUAAUUGCAUUAAUUCUUAUCCAGUUAACAUACAUGAUUGUUAGAAAAGUACAUUCCAUUACAUUCCAUCGUGACCUCUCCUUAUCAUAUGUCUUUCAUUAUCAUACAGACUGCAAUAAUAAUAAAAAUAAUACAUAGAAAUAUAAUAAGCCCAACAAAUAUGAAAAUUUGUUUUCAAUAUCAGCUCUCACUUCCUUAAUUCUAUCUAAAAGUUCAUUGUCGCGAUCUUUUAAGGCUUGUAUUUGAUCAGCUAUAUUCGCUUCUAAAUAGUCUAUAUGUGGAACUGGCCAAUCAUUUUCAUAUUUUUUGUGCGAACUUUCAUCAUCGAAGGCCAUGCUUUUCUCAUCUUUGAAGAAAUAGAACUCCCUGAUCCAGACAGUUCUCUAUCUUUUACUUCAUUCUUAUCUACCCAUUGGAAAAAGUUACAAUAAUUCUCCUUAUCGUUUCGAUAUUUUGGACAGCCGUAAAAUUGCAUCCCUUCAGAACGUGGCUGACGUGAAACUCUUAACAUAGCUACUUCAUUACAUUUGCAGCGAACAACCCCACUUUCUUUAGGAUUUCCCCGAUAAUAUGCCAUUGAUAUUCUGAAAAAAAAAAAUAAAGUAUCAAUUUACUAAUAACUAGCUAAUACAUUGAAUCAAUGUUAAUAUUACACAAUAAGAAAAAUAAAGAACUUACAACAAACUAAAUUUUUAAGAAGAAGAUUCACAUAUAUAAUUGAUACUAUGUCUAAUUAUUCUAAUCCUAUCAAACAUUACUCUAAUUUUUUCAUUGUCAUCCCAGGAUUUAUUUUCACUUGCUGUUCUAGUAUGUCUAAUUAUUCUAAUACUAUGAUCACUUGCUGUUCAUAUCCAUAUAUAUAAAAAUAUGAUGAGAAAGAGAUUUGCUAUGGAAAAAAAAUGCAAAUAAAAAAAAUCGACAAAAAAGAAAACAUUACCAAAGGGGGACUCGCACGUAUGCCGUAGCCGGGGACCCGCACGUGUGCCGCAGCCGAGGAGGGGACUGACCCACAUGCUCGUCGCCGUGGGAGGGGCGGCCGGUAUGCUGCCCGCACGGUUGCCGCCGCAGCGGGGGAGGGGGGGGCCCUGACUCGGAGCCGCGGAGAGGGGGACCCGCAACUCGCGGGGGUGGUGGGGGGUGGGGUGCCGGUCGCCGGGGUACGGGGGUAACCGCGAUGGGGGAAGGGAGGCGCGGGGGUAGGGGAGCACCCUCGCGGGGCGUGGGGGAGGGGGGCUACCCACGCCAGGGAAAGGGGGAGGAGUUUGCCGUGGGCUACCCGCGUCGCGUGAGAGGAGGAAGAGGUGGCCGCCUGGGCAGGGAGGCUACCUGCGUCGGGAAUGGGGGGAGGAGGUGGCCGCGGGGCUACCGCAUCGGGGAGGGGGGGGGAGGUGGCCGCGGCUACCCGUGUCGGGAAGGGGGGGCGAGGUGGCUGCCGGGGGGGGGGGGGGAGGAGGGGGGGUACCCGCGCCGUGGCUGGAGAAGGCUACCCGGCGAGGAAGGGGGGAGGAGGUUGGCCGUCGGGGAGCUACUCGCGCCGUGGGAGGAGAAGGGGGCCUACUCCGCGCCUAGGGAACGGGGAGAGAUGGCCCCACGGGGAGGGGUGCACCAAUCGGGAAAGAGGGGGGAGGGGAGAUGGUGGUGGAUCUGAGUGGUGAGGGAGAAUGGGGAUGAUGAGGGGUGAGGGAGAAGGACUGCAUUAGGAAGCGUGCAGGUCUGAUUGGGGGAAAAGGAAAAAAAAAAAGAAAGGGAAUGGGGAUGGACUAACGGAAGGCUCCGUUAGCCUUCUCCUCCAUCAGAUCUGGCACACAUCUCAAAGCGAAUCUAAUGGAGGAGAAGUUAUGAGUAGUGCAGCUACUAUACUCAUAAGAGUAUAGUAGCUGCACUCCAUAUAUAUGUACAUGUACAUAUAUAUAUAUAUACAUAUAUACAUGCAUGUACAUAUAUAUAUGUACAUGCAUAUAUAUAUGUAUAUAUAUAUAUAUAGAGCCAGGCUNUAUAUAUAUAUAUAUAUAUAUAGAAUUAGGCUGGAAUACUAUUAAUAGUAAAACGUUUUUUUUGCUAUCAAGUUUUUAACCCUUGGAUGAAAAAUUGUAGGGUCAUGAUGAUAUUAGUCGGUUAGAGUUGAAUGGUCCCCCUAGGGUUGAGUGGUCCCCACUCGGUUAUAGUAUUUAAUCCAAUGGUUAGAAAUAAUGAAAAGAGUUGAUCCAAAGGCUAAAAAACUGGUAGGAACAAUGGGAUUAUAUAUAGAAUCCAGCUGCUAUACUAUCGGUAGCACGAGGCCUCCCAUGCUACCAAGUUGUUUUCGAUGAUGCAGCUUCCAAAUCGACGAUCGGCUCCGUUAGACUUAAUCUACACUAUUAAAAGUAUUUGGAAACUAAAUUUCAUAAUUUUUUGAUAUCAUUUGACUAUUGAUCAAAAGAUCUCAAAAUUGACCAUUUUAAUGGCCGAUGUGGCGUGUUUGUGAGUUUAACGGUGUAAAACAAUCCAAAUCCGAUGAAAAUUUUAUAAAAAAUUCUUUUCACUAUUUAGAGUAAGAUCAGUAUAUCUGAUCUUGAAUUUAAAUUUUUUAUCAUUAUUUUUUAUGAGAUUUUUAUUUUCAGCCGUUCAAUUUUAGACUAUUUGUUUGAUAGGUAAAUAAUAUCGAAAAAUUAUGAAAUUUAGUUUUCAAAUACUUUUAAUAGUGUAGAUCAAGUCUAACGGAGCUGAUCGUUGAUUUGA